Molecule: long non-coding RNA, 87115 nt
Filed under: Triticum aestivum (bread wheat)
Lineage: Eukaryota; Viridiplantae; Streptophyta; Magnoliopsida; Poales; Poaceae
Description: long non-coding RNA (TAES_LNC005444)
Source: RNAcentral
CGCCCUCUGGUGGUGCUGCUGCUGCUGCCUGAGGUGCAUCGGAGGCGAGGACCGGACGAGUCUUGUGGCUGUUGCGAGGAAGGAGGAGAGGGGGGAGGGAGAUCGGACGGCGGAGCUCGAGAGGGGGAUGGAGGGGUUUGGGGUUAGGAAGAGAAGGGCCAGGGGUCGGAGCUGGAGAUGGCGAGGCGGAAGACGGUGAGGGAGGAGUCNNNNNNNNNNNNNNNNNNNNNNNNNNNNNNNNNNNNNNNNNNNNNNNNNNNNNNNNNNNNNNNNNNNNNNNNNNNNNNNNNNNNNNNNNNNNNNNNNNNNNNNNNNNNNNNNNNNNNNNNNNNNNNNNNNNNNNNNNNNNNNNNNNNNNNNNNNNNNNNNNNNNNNNNNNNNNNNNNNNNNNNNNNNNNNNNNNNNNNNNNNNNNNNNNNNNNNNNNNNNNNNNNNNNNNNNNNNNNNNNNNNNNNNNNNNNNNNNNNNNNNNNNNNNNNNNNNNNNUUGCCUGCUUUCCUUUUUUUUUUUCUGAUGUGGAGGAGGUCGUUGUUGGCGAGGAAGAAAGAGGGGGGGUUGGGAGGCGAGGGAGCCCCGCCUUUUAUAGCAGCCCAGGAGCCCCGGUGCGGUGCGGGGUUGGUAACCUGGUGGCCGUUUCCUUCCCGUGCCCGUCCCGUCUCCGUUACCCGAGCGAAGGGACGAACCGGACCCGUGGAGACGCGACCGACCACGCGUGGGCGCGCGCGGUUGGGCGUGGGCGGGGCGGUCGUUUCUUUGGGGAGAAGGAAGGAAGGGGUGGUGAGGUGGUCAGGUCAGGUCAGGUCAGGCAGGGCGUGCGCGUGGCCGCUGCGGCUGCGGUUGCGGUUGGGGCCAGGGGCGGCCGAUCUGGGUUCAGAUGAGGAUGCAGGCCUGGCGGCGGUUACGAUUUGCUUGGCUCGGUCUUUUCUCGCGUGUACUGUUUGUUCUCUCUCUCUCGGUUUGGGGUUGACUUGGCUGCGAGGAGGAGGAGGCGGCCUGUAUGCUUGGGAUCCGAUCGACGGGUUCGUUCGAGGAUAAUAACGGAAAAGGAUAUUCUUUCUGGCGCUAACGGUUCUGCCGGAUCCUUUGGCCAAGACGAUGAGGUAUUCGUUCGCUCGCAAAGUUUGCAAGUUGACCGUAAAUAUUCUAUGCAGGCGUCACCAGCUGUGCCGGAUUCAGACAAUUGCAUAUAUGUAUUGUAUCACAACAAAUCCUAUCUGAAUUCUCCUAUAUCUUACGCUCUUGUUGCUGCCCCCGGUCUCUAGAAUAAUACUCCUCCGCAAAAAAAAAAAAAAAAAACCAUACAUACAAGCUAGGAUGUGGCCGUUGCAUCUGCGUUUCCCCUACCGUGCGCACAAUGUGUAGGCAGAUGAUUUGCAAUACCAUAACUUGAUUGGGGUGCUGGCGCACGCAUAUAUAAUACAAGGAAAGGCCUCUACCUCAACUAUAGAAGACUAUGAGGUGGGCCACAACUCCAAUACACGUGCAGUAUAAAAUACAUACUCAACACUCGCCCGCAGUCGAAGCGUCGCCCGAGACACAGAGACUGGACCGAAACUCCUCAAAUACGGGAGUAGGCAAUCCCUUAGUCAUCACAUCAGCAAACUGUUGCGUCGUCGACACGUGAAGAACCCGAACACGGUCAAGGACAACCUCCUCACGCACGAAGUGAAUAUCGAGCUCAAUAUGCUUCGUCCGUCGAUGGUGUACCGGGUUGGCGGAGAGGUAGAUCGCGCUGACGUUAUCGCAGUACACAAGAGUGGCCUUGUGAACAUCACAAAGCAACUGCUGGAGCAGCUGGCGUAUCCAAGAGCACUCGGCCACGGCGUUGGCCACGACGCGAUACUCUGCCUCGGCGCUGGAGCGGGAGACCGUGGGCUGCCGCUUCGAUGACCAAGAGAUCAACGAGGGCCCAAGGUAGACGCAGUAGCCUGACGUAGACCGUCGCGUGUCGGGCAGCCAGUCCAGUCAGCAUCCUAGUAGGCCACGAGGUCGGUGGAGGCGGAGGCCGUCAGGGUGAGUCCCAAGGACAUGGUGCCGCGUAUGUAACGGAGAAUACGCUUCACCAGAGACCAGUGAGAGUCAUGCGGGGCGUGCAUAUGGAGGCACACCUGCUGAACAACAUACUGCAGUCGGGGCGAGUCAGCGUCAAGUACUGUAAAGCACCGACAAUAGAGCGAUAAAACGCUCCAUCGGACGCGAGAGACCCCUCCAGAGUAGAGACCUUCGCCUUCGUGUCGACGGGGGUGGGGGCCGGCUUGCAGUUAAGCAUACCGGCACGCUCAAGGAGCUCGCGGGCGUACUUUUGCUGAUGCAGAAAGAAACCGUCAGCCCGGCGGAUCACCUAGAUGCCGAGAAAGUAGUGCAGGGGGCCCAAGUCCUUGAGGGCGAACUCAUCACGAAGACGAGCAGUCAGCCGCUGAAGGAGAUCGGGGGUGGACGCCAUGAGGAUGAUGUCGUCGACGUAGAGCAGCAGAUAUGCAGUGGCAGCUCCCUGAUGAUACACAAAGAGUGAGGCAUCGGAGCGAGUGGACCGAAAGCCCAGAGACUGGAGGAAGGCUGCGAUACGCUGGUACCAAGCCCGAGGCACCUGCUUCAACCCGUACAGAGAGCGGGAGAGCAAGCACACGAAGUUGGGGUGCUCGGCGUCGACGAAACCAGUAGGCUGCUCACAGAACACCUGCUCGGCGAGAUGACCGUGCAAGAAGGCGUUGGAAACGUCCAACUGAUGCACAGGCCAGGCGCGCGAGCCGGCCAGCUGAAGGACGGCGCGGAUCGUGCCCGGUUUCACAACCGGGGGCGAAGGUGUAGGUGAAGUCCACGCCCGCGCACUGCCGAAAACCACGAACCACCCAUCGAGCCUUGUAGCGCUCGAGAGAACCGUCCGGGCAAGUCUUGUGGCGAAACACCCACUUGCCAGAGAUGAUGUUGGCACGAAGGGGUCACAGAACAAGUUGCCACGUGCGGUUGCGCUGUAAGGCGUCGAACUCCUCCUGCAUCGCAGCUAGCCAGUGGAGAUCCCGAAGGGGAGCGCGAGCGGGGGUGGGGACGGGUGAUGGCAUCGACGUCGAGGCGGCGCACACAUACUCGUUGGCGGAGUAGCGCGUGCUGGGCCGAAGCACUCCUGCUCGGGCACGGCUAGUCACGCCAAGUGGUGGGGCAGCAGGGCCGACUACUGCGGCGGCGGUGGCCNNNNNNNNNNNNNNNNNNNNNNNNNNNNNNNNNNNNNNNNNNNNNNNNNNNNNNNNNNNNNNNNNNNNNNNNNNNNNNNNNNNNNNNNNNNNNNNNNNNNNNNNNNNNNNNNNNNNNNNNNNNNNNNNNNNNNNNNNNNNNNNNNNNNNNNNNNNNNNNNNNNNNNNNNNNNNNNNNNNNNNNNNNNNNNNNNNNNNNNNNNNNNNNNNNNNNNNNNNNNNNNNNNNNNNNNNNNNNNNNNNNNNNNNNNNNNNNNNNNNNNNNNNNNNNNNNNNNNNNNNNNNNNNNNNNNNNNNNNNNNNNNGGCGGUGGCCGCGACGGCGGGGGGCACCUGGUGCAGCGGUGGGGGCACCCGGUGCAGCGGCGUCUGAGGCCACAGCGGCGGCGGCGGAGGCGGCGGAGGCCGCCGCGGUGGCGGAAGAGGCGACGGGCGAGGGUGACGUCGAGCCCGUCGUAGGGUGGGCGGGCGGGGUGCCGGGCUCAACCUCGUAUGAGGGAGACGGGGACCCGGGGACCCGCUCGGAUUCGACCUCGGGGGAGGAAGUCACGAAGCCAGGUGGUGGUGGCAGAGGGCGCCGUGCCGGGGGGCGCCGGGGGCUGUCGUCGUGCAUCGCUCCACGAAGGGGGCGCGGGGGCCAGUGCUGAAGGGACCGAAGUCGAAGGAACCUGAAAAAAAGGGAACACCGUCUCGACAAAGUACACAUGCAUCGAGGUGUACACACGAUGAGUGACAGGAUCAUAGCACUGGUAACCUUUAGUGUUAGGAGGGUAGCCAAGGAAGACGCAUGGGACAGGUCGUGGUGCGAGCUUGUCUGGCGUGGUGGAUGCGGUGCUAGGAUAAUGAUAAUCCCUAAGUGCAGGGAAUCAUCGUAGCAAUUCAUAAAGGUGGAAGUGAUAAGUAUGGAGUGUCGAACCCACAAGGAGCUAAAGGUAAAAAGAUCAAUAUUCUCUCAAGCCCUAUCUGCCACUGAUAUGACUCUACAUGCACCGAAUGUUCGCUUCCAAUUAGAAACAAGAAAUAAAACUGUGUUGUGGGUAUGAAGAGGAUAACUUUGUAUGAUAUCGGAGAGCUAAAAUGUAAAAAUAGGUGCUAUUAUCAUAAAGUUAGAAUAUAUUACUAAAUAAUAUAAAUAGCGAGUGUGGAAUAAUGAUGGGUCGGUGUGCAGAAUUGUCCUAGGCAAUUGUUAACAAGACCGAUAGUCGUCAUUGCAACUUCAUAUGAGGGAGAGGCAUAAGUUAACAUACUUUCUCUACUUAGAUCAUAUGCACUUAUGAUUGGAACUCUAGCAAGCGUAGGUAAAACCCAACCAUAGCAUUAAAGCAUCAAGUCCUCUUUAUUCCCAUACGCAACAACCCCCUUACUCGGGUUUGUGUUCCAGUCACUCACCAACCCACUAUAAGUGAAUCAUGAACUUAUUGCAACACCCUACAGUGGGAAUCCCUCACACUUGCGCGACAUGGAGGGCACCAUAGGACAACACCAAAAUAAAACAUACAACUCGUACCAAUCUAGACCAUCAAUCAUCCCAAGGACAAAAGAUAUCUACUCAAAACAUCAUAGGAUGGCAACACAUCAUUGAAUCAUAAUAUGCGGCAUAAAGCACCAUGUUCAAGUAGGGAUUACAGCGGGGUACGGGAGAGUGGACCGCGUAAAAUAGAUGAGGAUGGUGAUGAGGAUGGUGAUGUUGAUGAAGACGAUCACCGGCGAUGAUUCCCCUCCCGAUGGCACUCCGGUGCCACCAAGAGAGAGGAGGAGAGGUUCUCCCCCUUGUGCUUCCUCCUCCAUGGCUUUCCCCCUCUGGUCCUUGGCCUUCAUGACGAUGAUGGCCCCUCCGAGGUCCUCCUCCAUGGCCUCCGGUGAUGAUGGCCCCCUCCGGCAGGGUGCCGGAGAGGGCCUAGAUUGAUUUCUCGUGGCUACAGAGGCUUGCGGCGACAGAACUUCCGAUCUAGGUUAAUUCCCGAAGGUUUCUGUAUUUAUAGGAAUUUUUGGCGUUGGUUUCACGUUAGGGGGUUCUCCGGGCUGUCCACGAGAUAGGGGGCGCGCCCUAGGGGGGUGGGCGCGCCCCCCACUCUCGUGGGCAGCUCGGGACUCUUCUGGCCCAACUCUGAUGCUCCGUGGUCUUCUUUUGGUCCAUAAAAAAUCGUAAAAAAUUGGCACGCCAAUUGGAUUCCGUUUGGUAUUCCUUUUCUGUAAAACUCAAAAACAAGGAGAAAAUAGAAUCUGGCAUUGGACUCUAGGUUAAUAGGUUAGUCCCAAAAAUCAUAUAAAAUGGCAUAUAAAUGCAUAUAAAACAUCAUAGAUGGAUAAUAUAAUAGCAUGAAUACUUCAUAAAUUAUAGAUACGUUGGAGACGUAUCAGCAUGCCCAAGGUUAAUUCCUGCUCGUCCUCGAGUAGGUAAAUGAUAAAAGAAAUAAUUUAUGAAGUGUGAAUGCUAGCAGGUGCAUAAGUUUGAUCAAUGAUAAUUUCAAUAACCUUUUCUAGCAUCAUUAUGUGUCAUGAUAGUAGCUUAUCUCAUAAAACUUUUCAUGAUCAAGUAACAGUCUAUUCACAAUGUCAAGUAUGGUUCAGAAACUUCAUUGAGAACUAACAAACUAUAAUCUCAGUCAUUGAAGCAAUUGCAAUUUAUUAUAACAUCAGAAAGAGUCAAGAAUAGAGCUUUUCAGCAAGUCCACAUACUCAACUAUCAUAUAGUCUUCUACAAUUGCUAACACUCACGCAAUACUUGUGGUUAUGGAGUUUCAGCCGGACACUGAGAAAGAUAGGGGCUUAUUGUGUUGCCUCCCAACGUAUUCACCUUUAGGUGAUGUCAAUAAUAAUAGCCCAUGCUAACUUACAUCUAAUUGGAUAUAUAUAUAUAUAUAUAUAUAUAUAUAUAUAUAUAUAUAUAUAUAUAUAUAUAUAUAUAUAUAUCAUGAUCUUUCAAACACGAGGAGCUUGCCAAAAGAUAAAAUGAAAAAGGGAAAGGUGAGGAUCACCUUGACUCAAGCAUAAAGUAAAAACACAAAGUAAAAGACAGGCCCUUCGCAGAGGGAAGCAGAGGUUGUCAUGUGCGUUUAGGGUUGGAUGCAUAAAAUCUUAAUGCAAAAGAACGUCACUUUAUAUUGCCCCUUGUAUGUGGACCUUUAUUAUGCAAUCUGUCGCUUUUAUUGCUUCCACAACAAGAUCGUACAAAUCUUAUUUUCUCUACACUAAUAAGUCAUACAUAUUUAGAUAGCAAUUUUUAUUGCCUGCAACAUGACAACUUACUUGAAGGAUCUUACUCAAUCCAUAGGUAGGUAUGGUGAAUUCUCAUGGCAAAACUGGGUUUAAGAAUACUUGGAAGCACAAGUAGUAUCUCUACUUGGUGCAAGGAAUUUGGCUAGCAUGAGGGGGAAAGGCAAGCUCAACAUAUUUGGAAGGUCAAUGAUAAUAUACUUUAACUGCGAUGUGAGAAAACAUAAACCAUUACGUUGUCUUCCUUAUCCAACGUCAACUCUUUUAGCAUGUCAUACUUAAUGAGUGCUUCACAAUCAUAAAAGAUGUCCAAGAUAAUAUAUUUGUAUGUGAACCUCUCUUUCCUUAUUACUUCCUAUUAAUUGCAACGAUGACCAAAACUAUGUUUGUCAACUCUCAACAACUUUUAUGCCUCAUACUUUUUAUAUGUGAAGUCAUUACUUUUCAUGUUAUAAGCAUAUGAAACAUAUAUAAAUUCAGAUUUAUGACAUUCAAUUCAUUCCCCCAUUUACUGAUAGGAUAUAAAUGCAGCACAUGAGUAAAUAACAAACUACUCUAAAAGAUAUGAGUUAAAGACACUGAGUAGUCAAAUAAUUAACUAGCCAUGGGAGGGUUACUUUUUUAUUCAAAAUUUCAAAUCCAAUGAUUUUAUUCAAACAACAAGUAAAAUUGAAAAUACGCUCCAAGCAAAACACAUAUCAUGUGACGAAUAAAAAUAUAGCUCCGAGUAAGAUGUACCGAUAGUUUUGAAGACGAAAGAGGGGAUGCCUUUGAAUAUUACCUUGGGGUGCCUUGGUCAUCCCUAAGCUUAGGGUCUUUCCACUCCUUAUUCUCCUCAUAUCGAUAUCUCACCCAAAACUUGAAAACUUCAAUCACACAAAACUUAAUGGAACUUCGUGAGAUAGGUUAGUAUGAUAAAGAGUAAACCAUGCACUUUGGUACUGUAAAAGAUAAGGUUCAUAAUUGUUUUCACAUAAUGUCUACUGUACCAUAUCAUUUCUACAAUUUAUAUUAAGAAAUAUAAGCCACAGAAACUAGAAACAAGCAAACUAUGCAAUGAAAACAUAAUCUGUCAGAAACAGAACAGUCUGUAAUGAUCUGAACAAUAACCAUACUUCUGCUACUCCAAUAAUUAUGAAAUAACUUGGUGGACGUGAGUAAUUUGUCUAUUAAACUUUUGCAAAAAGAAUCAACUCAAAAUCACUCUUCUGUAAAAAAUGACAGCUAAUCUCGUGAGUGCAAAGUUUCUGUUUUUUACAGCAAUAUCACAUUAAUUCUCACCCAAGUCUUCCCAAAGGUCUUACUUGGCACUUUAUUGAAACAAAAGCUAUAAAACAUGAUUAAUACAGUAGAUUAAUCAUGUAGGCACACAAAAACAGUAAGGGCAAAAAUUGGGUUGUCUCCCAACAAGCGCUUUUCUUUAAUGCCUUUUAGCUAGACAUGAUGAUUUCAAUGAUGCUCACAUAAAAGAAUAGAGUUGAAACACAAAGAGAGCAUCAUAAAGAAUAUGACUAGCACAUUUAAAUCUAACUCACUUCCUAUGCCUAGUGAUUUUGUGAGCACACAAUUUACAAGAACAAAAGUCAACUAGCAUAGGAAGGCAAAACAAGUAUAACUUCAAAACUUUAAGCACAUAGAGAGAAAACUUGAUAUUAUUGCAACUCCUACAAGCACAUAUUCCUCCCUCAUAAUAAUUUUUAGUAGCUUCAUGGAUAGCAACUUUGUCUCAUACUCAAUUGGAACCUCUUCUGAAAUAGUGGAAUACUAACUAAAGCUGACACUCUUCUAAAUCCACUUUCAUAAAUAUCAUACGAAGAUUCAACACCCUCCAAGAUAGUGGGAUCACUUGUUCCUAAAGUUGACACUCUUCCAAACCCACUUUAAAUUAUAGUAUUAUUCAUACUCCAAAAGAUAUAAGUGAAGUUCCUGGAGCAUUCUACAAUUAAUAUAGACUAGACAAUAUCGAAGCUCAAAAUAUAUAAGUGAUGCACACGAAGCAUUCUAUAAAACCAUACUCAAACGAUUUAAGUGAAGCACAAAGAGCAAUUCUAUAAGAUCAUACUUAAAAGAUAUAAGUGAAUCACAUGAAGUAUUCUAUAAAUCAAUGAAGAGCUAUCUCGUACUAGCAUGAUUCUUAAAGAAAAGUAAAAACACAAAUGACACAAAUCAUGUGAACAAAACAAAAACCGAGGUAUACCGAUAUUUAUUGAAGAAGAAAGAUGGGAUGCCAACCGGGGCAUCCCCAAGCUUAGAUUCUUGAGUAUCCUUUGAAAUAUUUACUUGGGGUGCCUUGGGCAUCCCCAAGCUUGAACUCUUGUCUCUCUUUAUUCUUCUCACAUCGGUAACGCCUCGUUCUUCAAACACUUCAUUCACAAAAACUUAAACAAAAACUUGUGAGAUCCGUUAGUGUAAUAAAGCAAACUACCACUUCAAGGUACUAUAAUUAACUCAUUUUGUGUUUAUAUUGGUGUUAAACCUAAUGUAUUCCAACUUCUCUAUGGUUCAUACCCUUACAUACUAGCCAUAGAUGCAUCAAAAUAACCAUACAACACAUGAAAAAACAGAAUCUAUCAAGAACAGGACAGUCUGUAGUAAUCUGGAAGUUUAGUAAACUUCUGUAACUCCUAAAAUUAUGAAAUAAAUUUGACAAUUUGAAAAAUUUGUACAGAAGUAAUAUGCAAAACGUUUCAGAUCCAUUUGGCUUUCCGGUAAAAUAUGUAAAUUCAUGCACUACAGACAAAGUUUCUAUUUUUGUUCUGCACAAAGUAAGCAAGCAAUCUUAUCAUACUAAAACCAAAGCUAGGCACAUUAUUUUUAUAAUACAAUGGAUAUAUACAAGGGUAUAAUUAUUUACAGAGAAACUUCCAUGAAAAAUUCUACAUUGUUUCCGUGAGCAUGAACACAAGUGCUCAAGGUCGACCCUCACUUCUUCAAUGCAUAACUUGCCAAUCACUUAUCUUUUUGAAAAACUUUUUUAGGCAUGAGAGGCAAGUAAAUAUUUUUGUAUUUUCAUUCUUUUUAAUUUUUUUGUAUGUUUCACCCACAACUAAACAGAAACAGAAAAGGAAAAACAAAAUCUACUUAGUGAAGAAAGCAAACAAGCACACACGAAAAUAUCAACCCCACGCUAUUGCUCCCCGGCAACGGCGCCAGAAAAGAGCUUGAUAAUCCCCAAGUGCAGGGAAUCGUCGUAGCAAUUCCCAAAGGUGGAAGUGAUAAGGAUGGAGUGUCAAACCCACAAGGAGCUAAAGGUAAGAUCAAUAUUCUCUCAAGUCCUAUCUGCCACUGAUACGACUCUACGUGCACCGAACGUUUGCUUCCAACUAGAAAAGAAGAAAUAAAACUGUGUUGUGGGUAUGAAGAGGAUAAGUUUGUAUGAUAUCGGAGAGCUAAAAUAUAAAAGUAGGUGCUGUUAUCAUAAAGUUAGAAUAUAUUACUAAAUAAUAUAAAUAGCAAGUGUGGAAUAAUGAUGGGUCGGUGUGCGGAAUUGUCCUAGGCAAUUGUUAACAAGACCAAUAGUCGUCAUCGCAAUUUCAUAUGAGGGAGAGGCAUAAGCUAACAUACUUUAUCUACUUGGAUCAUAUGCACUUAUGAUUGGAACUCUAGCAAGCGUCCGCAACUACUAAAGAUCAUUAAGGUAAAACCCAACCAUAGCAUUAAAGCAUCAAGUCCUCUUUAUUCCCAUACGCAACAACCCCCUUACUCGGGUUUGUGUUUCAGUCACUCACCAACCCACUAUAAGCGAAUCAUGAACAUAUUGCAACAUCCUGUUGGAAAUAUGCCCUAGAGGCAAUAAUAAAAGCAUUAUUAUUAUAUUUCUUUGUUCAUGAUAAUUGUCUUUAUUCAUGCUAUAAUUGUGUUAUCCGGAAAUCGUAAUACAUGUGUGAAUAACAGACACCAACAUGUCCCUAGUAAGCCUCUAGUUGACUAGCUCGUUGAUCAAUAGAUAGUCAUGGUUUCCUGGCUAUGGACAUUGGAUGUCAUUGAUAACGGGAUCACAUCAUUAGGAUAAUGAUGUGAUGGACAAGACCCAAUCCUAAACAUAGCACAAGAUCGUAUAGUUCGUUUGCUAAAGUUUUUGCAAUGUCAAAGUAUCUCUUCCUUCGACCAUGAGAUCGUAUAACUCCUGGAUGCCGUAGGAGUGCUUUGGGUGUAUCAAACGUCACAACGUAACUGGGUGACUAUAAAGGUGCACUACAGGUAUCUCCGAAAGUAUCUAUUGUUUUAUAUGGAUCGAGACUGGGAUUUGUCACUCCGUAUGACGGAGAGAUAUCACUGGGCCCACUCAGUAAUGCAUCAUCAUAAUGAGCUCAAAGUGACCAAGUGUUUGGUCACGGGAUCAUGCAUUACGGUACGAGUAAAGUGACUUGCCGGUAACAAGAUUGAACGAGGUAUUGGGAUACCGACGAUCGAAUCUCGGGCAAGUAACAUAUCGAUUGACAAAGGGAAUUGCAUACUGGGUUGAUUAAAUCCUCGACAUCGUGGUUCAUCCGAUGAGAUCAUCGUGGAGCAUGUGGGAGACAACAUGGGUAUCCAGAUCCCGCUGUUGGUUAUUGACCGGAGAGCGAUCUCGGUCAUGUCUACAUGUCUCCCGAACCCGUAGGGUCUACACACUUAAGGUUCAGUUACGCUAGGGUUGUAGGGAUAUGUAUAUGCAGUAACCCGAAUGUUGUUCGGAGUCCCGGAUGAGAUCCCGGACGUCACGAGGAGUUCUGGAAUGGUCCGGAGGUAAAUAUUUAUAUAUGGGAAGUCCUGUUUCGGGCAUCGGGACAAGUUUCGGGGUUAUCGGUAUUGUACCGGGACCACCGGAGGGGUCCCGGGGGCCCACCGGGUGGGGCCACCCAUCCCCGGGGGCCACAUGGGCUGUAGGGGGUGCGCCUUGGCCUGCUUGGGCCAAGGGCACCAGCCCCACAUAGGCCCAUGCGCCUAGGGUUUAAGGGGGAAAGAGUCCUAGGAGGGUAAGGCACCUCCUAGGUGCCUUGGGGGGGAGGGAAACCCCCCUUGGCCGCCGCACCCCCUAGGAGAUUGGAUCUCCUAGGGCCGGCCACCCCCCCUUGGCACCCCUAUAUAUAGUGGGGGAGAGGAGGGACUUCAUACCUUGAGUCCUUGGCCUUUGGUUGCCUCCUUCUCCCUCCCCAACACCUCCUCCACCUCCUUAUUGCUUAGCGAAGCUCUGCUGGAGUACUGCAGCUCCAUCAACACCACGCCGUCGUGCUGCUGCUGGUGCCAUCUCCCUCAACCUCUCCUCCCUCCCUUGCUGGAUCAAGAAGGAGGAGACGUGGCUGUUUCCGUACGUGUGUUGAACGCGGAGGUGCCGUCCGUUCGGUGCUAGGAUCUCCGGUGAUUCGAAUCACGUCGUGUUCGACUACAUCAUCCCCGUUCUUUGAACGCUUCCGCUCGCGAUCUACAAGGUAUGUAGAUGCAUCUAUUCACUCGUUGCUAGAUGAACUCCUAGAUGAUCUUGGUGAAACGAGUAGGAAUUUUUUUAUUUUCUGCAACGUUCCCCAACAGUGGCAUCAUGAGCUAGGUCUAUGCGUAGUUCUUCUUGCACGAGUAGAACACAAUUGGUUGUGGGCGUAGAUUUGUCAACUUUCUUGCCGCUACUAGUCUUAUCUUGCUUCAGCGGUAUUGUGGGAUGAAGCGGCCCGGACCAACCUUACACGUACGCUUACGUGAGACCGGUUCCACCGACUAACAUGUACAAGUUGCAUAAGGUGGCUGGCGGGUGUCUGUCUCUCCCACUUUAGUUGAAGCGGAUUCGAUGAAAAGGGUCCUUAUGAAGGGUAAAUAGAAGUUAACAAAUCACGUUGUGGUUUCACGUAGGUAAGAAAACGUUCUUGCUAGAACCCUACUUCAGCCACGUAAAACUUGCAAACAACAAUUAGAGGACGUCUAACUUGUUUUUGCAGCAAGUGCUUUGUGAUAUGAUAUGGCCAAAGUUGUGAUGAAUGAUGAAUGAUCUAUAUGUCAUGUAUGAGAUGUUCAUGCUAUUGUAAUAGGAAUCACGACUUGCAUGUCGAUGAGUAUGACAACCGGCAGGAGCCAUAGGAGUUGUCUUUAUUUUUUUGUAUGACCUGUGUGUCAUUAAAGAACGCCAUGUAAACUACUUUACUUUAUUACUAAACGCGUUAGUCAUAGAAGUAGAAGUAGUCGUUGGCGUGACAACUUCAUGAAGACACGAUGAUGGAGAUCAUGAUGAUGGAGAUCAUGGUGUCAUGCCGGUGACAAGAUGAUCAUGGAGCCCCGAAGAUGAAGAUCGAAGGAGCUAUAUGAUAUUGGCCAUAUCAUGUCACUACUUUAUAUAAUUGCAUGUGAUGUUUAUUAUGUUUUAUGCAUCUUGUUUACUUAGAACGACGGUAGUAAAUAAGGUGAUCCCUUACAAAAUUUCAAGAAGUGUUCUCCCCUAACUGUGCACCGUUGCUACAGUUCGUCGUUUCGAAGCACCACGUGAUGAUCGGGUGUGAUAGAUUCUUACGUUCACAUACAACGGGUGUAAGACAGUUUUACACAGCGAAAACACUUAGGGUUAACUUGACGAGCCUAGCAUGUACAGACAUGGCCUCGGAACACGGAGACCGAAAGGUCGAACACGAGUCGUAUGGAAGAUACGAUCUACAUGAGAAUGUUCACCGACGAUGACUAGUCCGUCUCACGUGAUGAUCGGACACGGCCUAGUCGACUCGGAUCGUGUAACACUUAGAUGACCAAAGGGAUGUCAAAUCUGAGUGGGAGUUCAUUAUAAUUUGAUUAGAUGAACUUAAUUAUCAUGAACUUAGUCUAAAUAUUUUACAAUAUGUCUUGUAGAUCAAAUGGCCAACGUAGUCCUCAACUUCAACGCGUUCCUAGAGAAAACUAAGCUGAAAGACGAUGGCAGCAACUAUACGGACUGGGUCCGGAACCUGAGGAUCAUCCUCAUAGCUGCCAAGAAAGAUUAUGUCCUACAAGCACCGCUAGGUGAUGCACCUGUUCUCCCUGCAGAACAAGACGUUAUGAACGCUUGGCAGGCACGUUCUGAUGACUACUCCCUCGUUCAGUGCGGCAUGCUUUACAGCUUAGAGCCGGGGCUCCAAAAGCGUUUUGAGAGACAUGGAGCAUAUGAGAUGUUCGAAGAGCUGAAAAUGGUUUUCCAAGCUCAUGCCCGGGUCGAGAGAUAUGAAGUCUCUGACAAAUUCUUCAGCUGUAAGAUGGAGGAAAAUAGUUCUGUCAGUGAGCACAUACUCACUAUGUCUGGGUUACAUAACCGCUUGACUCAGCUGGGGGUUAAUCUCCCGGAUGAUGCGGUCAUUGACAGAAUCCUCCAGUCGCUUCCACCGAGCUACAAGAGCUUUGUGAUGAACUUCAAUAUGCAGGGGAUGGAAAAGACCAUUCCUGAAGUAUUUGCUAUGCUGAAAUCAGCAGAGGUAGAAGUCAGAAAGGAACAUCAAGUGUUGAUGGUCAAUAAAACCACUAAGUUCAAGAAGGGCAAGGGUAAAAAGAACUUCAAGAAAGACGGCAAGGUAGUUGCCACGCCCAGCAAGCAAGCUGCCGGGAAGAAGCCAAAGAAUGGACCCAAGCCCGAGACUGAGUGUUUUUAUUGCAAGGAAAGUGGUCACUGGAAGCGGAAUUGCCCCAAAUACUUAGCGGACAAGAAGGCCGGCAAAACCAAAGGUAUAUUUGAUAUACAUGUAAUUGAUGUGUACCUUACCAGUAAUAGUAGUAACUCCUGGGUAUUUGAUACCGGUGCCGUUGCUCAUAUUUGUAACACACAACAGGAGCUGCGGAAUAAACGGAGACUGGCGAAGGACGAGGUGACGAUGCGCGUCGGGAAUGGUUCCAAGGUCGAUGUGAUCGCCGUCGGCACGCUACCUCUACAUUUACCCGCGGGAUUAGUUUUGAACCUCAAUAAUUGUUAUUUUGUGCCAAGUUUGAGCAUGAACAUUGUAUCAGGAUCUCGUUUAAUUCGAGAUGGCUACUCAUUUAAAUCCGAGAAUAAUGGUUGUUCUAUUUAUAUGAGAGAUAUGUUUUAUGGUCAUGCUCCGAUGGUGAAUGGUUUAUUCUUUAUGAAUCUCGAGCGUAAUGCUACACAUAUUCAUAGUGUAAGUACCAAAAGAUGUAAGAUUGAUAGUGAUAGUCCCACAUACUUGUGGCACUGCCGCCUCGGUCACAUAGGUAUCAAACGCAUGAAGAAGCUCCAUGCUGAUGGACUUUUAGAGUCUCUUGAUUACGAAUCAUUUGACACGUGCGAACCAUGCCUCAUGGGUAAAAUGACCAAGACUCCAUUCUCAGGAACAAUGGAGAGAGCAACCAACUUAUUGGAAAUCGUACAUACUGAUGUGUGUGGUCCAAUGAGUGUUGAGGCUCGCGGUGGCUAUCGUUAUGUUCUCACCCUCACUGAUGACUUGAGUAGAUAUGGGUAUGUCUACUUAAUGAAACACAAGUCUGAGACCUUCGAAAAGUUCAAGGAAUUUCAGAGUGAAGUUGAGAAUCAACGUGACAGGAAAAUCAAGUUUCUACGAUCAGAUCGUGGAGGAGAAUACUUGAGUCACGAGUUUGGUACACACUUAAGAAAAUGUGGAAUAGUUUCACAACUCACGCCGCCUGGAACACCUCAGCGUAAUGGUGUGUCCGAACGUCGUAAUCGCACUCUAUUAGAUAUGGUGCGAUCUAUGAUGUCUCUUGCAGAUUUACCACUAUCUUUUUGGGGCUAUGCUUUAGAGACUGCCGCAUUCACUUUAAAUAGGGCCCCGUCGAAAUCCGUUGAGACGACACCGUAUGAAUUAUGGUUUGGGAAGAAACCUAAGCUGUCAUUUCUAAAAGUUUGGGGAUGCGAUGCUUAUGUCAGGAAACUUCAACCUGAAAAGCUCGAACCCAAAUCGGAAAAAUGCGUCUUCAUAGGAUACCCUAAAGAAACUGUUGGGUAUAUCUUCUACCUCAGAUCCGAAGGCAAGAUCUUUGUUGCCAAGAAUGGGUCCUUUCUGGAGAAAGAGUUUCUCUCGAAAGAAGUAAGUGGGAGGAAAGUAGAGCUUGAUGAAGUAUUACCUCUUGAACCGGAAAAUGGCGCAACUCAAGAAAAUGUUCCUGAGGUGCCUGCACCGACUAGAGAGGAAGUUAUUGAUAAUAAUCAAGAUACUUCUGAUCAAGCUCCUACUGAAAUUCGAAGGUCCACGAGGACACGUUCCGCACCAGAGUGGUACGGCAACCCUGUCUUGGAAAUCAUGUUGUUAGACAACGGUGAACCUUCGAACUAUGAAGAAGCGAUGGCGGGUCCGGAUUCCGACAAAUGGCUAGAAGCCAUGAAAUCCGAGAUAGGAUCCAUGUAUGAAAACGAAGUAUGGACUUUGACUGACUUGCCCGUAGAACGGCGAGCCAUAGAAAAUAAAUGGAUCUUUAAGAAGAAGACAGACGCGGAUGGUAAUGUGACCAUCUAUAAAGCUCGGCUUGUCGCUAAGGGUUAUCGACAAGUUCAAGGGGUUGAUUACGAUGAGACUUUCUCACCGGUAGCGAAGCUGAAGUCCGUCGGAAUCAUGUUAGCAAUUGCCGCAUUUUAUGAUUAUGAAAUUUGGCAAAUGGACGUCAAAACGGCAUUCCUUAAUGGUUUCCUUAAGGAAGAAUUGUAUAUGAUGCAGCCGGAAGGUUUUGUCGAUCCUAAAAAUGCUGACAAGGUGUGCAAGCUCCAACGCUCGAUUUAUGGGCUGGUGCAAGCAUCUCGGAGUUGGAACAUUCGUUUUGAUGAGAUGAUCAAAGCGUUUGGGUUUACACAGACUUAUGGAGAAGCCUGUGUUUACAAGAAAGUGAGUGGGAGCUCUAUAGCAUUUCUCAUACUAUAUGUAGAUGACAUACUUUUGAUGGGAAAUGAUAUAGAACUUUUGGACAGCAUUAAGGCCUACUUGAAUAAGAGUUUUUCAAUGAAGGACCUUGGAGAAGCUGCUUAUAUAUUAGGCAUCAAGAUCUAUAGGGAUAGAUCAAGACGCCUCAUAGGUCUUUCACAAAGCACAUAUCUUGAUAAGAUUUUGAAGAAGUUCAAAAAUGGAUCAGUCCAAGAAAGGGUUCUUGCCUGUUUUGCAAGGUGUGAAAUUGAGCUCAGCUCAAUGUCCGACCACGGCAGCAGAGAUAGAAGAGAUGAGUGUCAUCCCCUAUGCCUCAGCCAUAGGUUCUAUUAUGUAUGCCAUGCUGUGUACCAGACCUGAUGUAAACCUUGCCGUAAGUUUGGUAGGAAGGUACCAAAGUAAUCCCGGCAAGGAACACUGGACAGCGGUCAAGAAUAUCCUGAAGUACCUGAAAAGGACUAAGGAAAUGUUUCUCGUUUAUGGAGGUGACGAAGAGCUCGUCGUAAAAGGUUACGUCGACGCUAGCUUCGACACAGAUCUGGAUGACUCUAAGUCACAAACCGGAUACGUGUAUAUUUUGAAUGGUGGGGCAGUAAGCUGGUGCAGUUGCAAGCAGAGCGUCGUGGCGGGAUCUACAUGUGAAGCGGAGUACAUGGCAGCCUCGGAGGCAGCACAUGAAGCAAUAUGGGUGAAGGAGUUCAUCACCGACCUAGGAGUCAUACCCAAUGCGUCGGGGCCGAUCAAGCUCUUCUAUGACAACACUGGAGCUAUUGCACUUGCCAAGGAGCCCAGGUUUCACAAGAAGACAAGGCACAUCAAGCGUCGCUUCAACUCCAUCCGUGAAAAUGUUCAAGAUGGAGACAUAGAGAUUUGUAAAGUACAUACGGACCUGAAUGUAGCAGAUCCGUUGACUAAACCUCUCCCAAGAGCAAAACAUGAUCAACACCAGAAUUCCAUGGGUGUUCGAUUCAUCACAAUGUAACUAGAUUAUUGACUCUAGUGCAAGUGGGAGACUGUUGGAAAUAUGCCCUAGAGGCAAUAAUAAAAUCAUUAUUAUUAUAUUUCUUUGUUCAUGAUAAUUGUCUUUAUUCAUGCUAUAAUUGUGUUAUCCGGAAAUCGUAAUACAUGUGUGAAUAACAGACACCAACAUGUCCCUAGUAAGCCUCUAGUUGACUAGCUCGUUGAUCAAUAGAUAGUCAUGGUUUCCUGGCUAUGGACAUUGGAUGUCAUUGAUAACGGGAUCACAUCAUUAGGAUAAUGAUGUGAUGGACAAGACCCAAUCCUAAACAUAGCACAAGAUCGUAUAGUUCGUUUGCUAAAGUUUUUGCAAUGUCAAAGUAUCUCUUCCUUCGACCAUGAGAUCGUAUAACUCCUGGAUGCCGUAGGAGUGCUUUGGGUGUAUCAAACGUCACAACGUAACUGGGUGACUAUAAAGGUGCACUACAGGUAUCUCCGAAAGUAUCUAUUGUUUUAUAUGGAUCGAGACUGGGAUUUGUCACUCCGUAUGACGGAGAGAUAUCACUGGGCCCACUCAGUAAUGCAUCAUCAUAAUGAGCUCAAAGUGACCAAGUGUUUGGUCACGGGAUCAUGCAUUACGGUACGAGUAAAGUGACUUGCCGGUAACAAGAUUGAACGAGGUAUUGGGAUACCGACGAUCGAAUCUCGGGCAAGUAACAUAUCAAUUGACAAAGGGAAUUGCAUACGGGGUUGAUUAAAUCCUCGACAUCGUGGUUCAUCCGAUGAGAUCAUCGUGGAGCAUGUGGGAGCCAACAUGGGUAUCCAGAUCCCGCUGUUGGUUAUUGACCGGAGAGCGAUCUCGGUCAUGUCUACAUGUCUCCCGAACCCGUAGGGUCUACACACUUAAGGUUCAGUUACACUAGGGUUGUAGGGAUAUGUAUAUGCAGUAACCCGAAUGUUGUUCGGAGUCCCGGAUGAGAUCCCGGACAUCACGAGGAGUUCCGGAAUGGUCCGGAGGUAAAGAUUUAUAUAUGGGAAGUCCUGUUUCGGGCAUCGGGACAAGUUUCGGGGUUAUCGGUAUUGUACCGGGACCACCGGAGGGGUCCCGGGGGCCCACCGGGUGGGGCCACCCAUCCCCGGGGGCCACAUGGGCUGUAGGGGGUGCGCCUUGGCCUGCUUGGGCCAAGGGCACCAGCCCACAUAGGCCCAUGCGCCUAGGGUUUAAGGGGGAAAGAGUCCUAGGAGGGUAAGGCACCUCCUAGGUGCCUUGGGGGGGAGGGAAACCCCCCUUGGCCGCCGCACCCCCUAGGAGAUUGGAUCUCCUAGGGCCGGCCACCCCCCCCUUGGCACCCCUAUAUAUAGUGGGGGAGAGGAGGGACUUCAUACCUUGAGUCCUUGGCCUUUGGUUGCCUCCUUCUCCCUCCCCAACACCUCCUCCACCUCCUUAUUGCUUAGCGAAGCUCUGCCGGAGUACUGCAGCUCCAUCAACACCACGCCGUCGUGCUGCUGCUGGUGCCAUCUCCCUCAACCUCUCCUCCCUCCCUUGCUGGAUCAAGAAGGAGGAGACGUGGCUGUUUCCGUACGUGUGUUGAACGCGGAGGUGCCGUCCGUUCGGUGCUAGGAUCUCCGGUGAUUCGAAUCACGUCGUGUUCGACUACAUCAUCCCCGUUCUUUGAACGCUUCCGCUCGCGAUCUACAAGGUAUGUAGAUGCAUCUAUUCACUCGUUGCUAGAUGAACUCCUAGAUGAUCUUGGUGAAACGAGUAGGAAAUUUUUUAUUUUCUGCAACGUUCCCCAACACACCCUACAGCGGGAAUCUCUCACGCUUGCGCGACACGGAGGGCACCAUAGGACAUCACCAAAAUAAAACAUACAACUCAUACCAAUCUAGACCAUCAAUCAACCCAAGGACAAAAGAUAUCUACUCAAAACAUCAUAGGAUGGCAACACAUCAUUGAAUCAUAAUAUGCGGCAUAAAGCCCCAUGUUCAAGUAGGGAUUACAGCGGGGUACGGGAGAGUGGACCGCGUAAAAGAGAUGAGGAUGGUGAUGAUGAUGGUGAUGUUGAUGAACACAAUCACCGGCGAUGAUUCCCCUCCCGAUGGCACUCGGUGCCACCAAGAGAGAGGAGGAGAGGUUCUCCCCCUUGUGCUUCCUCCUCCAUGGCUUUCCCCCUCUGGUCCUUGGCCUUCAUGACGAUGAUGGCCCCUCCGAGAUCCUCCUCCAUGGCCUCCGGUGAUGAUGGACCCCUCCGGCAGGGUGCCGGAGAGGGCCUAAAUUUAUUUCUCGUGGCUACAGAGGCUUGCGGCGGCGGAACUUCCGAUCUAGGUUAAUUCCCAAAGGUUUCUGUAUUUAUAGGAAUUUUUGGCGUUGGUUUCACGUCAGGGGGGUCUCCGGGAUGUCCACGAGAUAGGGGGGCGCGCCCUAGGGGGGUGGGCGCACCCCCCACUCUCGUGGGAAGCUCGGGACUCUUUUGGCCCAACUCCGAUGCUCCGUGGUCUUCUUUUGGUCCAUAAAAUAUCGUCAAAAAUUGGCACGUCAAUUGGACUCAUUUGGUAUUCCUUUUCCGUAAAAAUCAAAAACAAGGAGAAAACAGAAUCUGGCACUGGGCUCUAAGUUAAUAGGUUAGUCCCAAAAAUCAUAUAAAAUGGCAUAUAAAUGCAUAUAAAACAUCAUAGAUGGAUAAUAUAAUAGCAUGAAUACUUCAUAAAUUAUAGAUACGUUGGAGACGUAUCAGAUAACAGAGACACCCGAAAAUGCGGAGACCAUCAUAAGACGAUGGUGUACCGAAGAGAAGGUGGUGAGGGGCGUAGUUCCACCGAGGGCGACACGGAUGAAUGUUAACUAAGAGAGUGGCGGUAGCGAGGGUAUCGGGCCAAAACCGAGCAGGCACGUUAGAGUGAAAGAGUAACGUGCGAACGCAAUCAUUAAGAGUGCGGAGAAUGCGCUCGGCGUGGCCGUUCUGCUGAGAAGUGUAGGGGCAAGUCAGACGGAAGGUGGUGCCAUGAGAGGCGAGAAGUGUGCGAAAAGCGACGUUGUCAAACUCUUUUCCGUUAUCAGUUUGGAGUGUGAGUAUGGGACGACCGAACUGGGUGGUAACAUAGGAAUAAAGGCGAUGAGGGUGGCUAAAGUAUCAGAUUUACGACGAAGGGGAAAAGUCCACACAUAAUGAGAAUAAUCAUCUAAAAUCACCAAGUAGUAUAGAUAGCCCGUGUUACUCGCAACAGUGAUGUUUUAAUUACUUCAUAGUGAUGUUUGCGAGUAACACGGGCUAUCGGGAUAGAGCUCAUCGGCACUGUCACAUCGGUGAAGGACCAUCCGGGUACGGGCGUCUUUCACAGAAUAGGUAAGGAGGAGCCAUUGCCGACGGUGACACGAGUGGGUGUGCGAACGGGAGUGGAGGAGGUUAGGUUACCGAGAUGAGCUGCCAUGUGCGCAGUAGCACCUGAGUUCAUGUACCAGUCGCCUCCACCGACAGAGCUACUCGGCGACAACGCGGAGUGCUGGGCGGCGAGGAGUGUGAGGUCCCGUGGCACAGGUAUCAACAGCGGCGGAAAGCCCCCAUAGGGCGGCACUGGGACGGGCGGGCCAUAACCACCGAUUGGCGGCGCAAGGAGGUCACGGUAGCCGGCGCCAGUCGGCUGGAAGGGCGCGCCGAUGAAUGCCUGGUGGCCAGCAGGGAGAGCCUGCUGAUAGUGUGGCGCCCCGCCGGCAUCCUGGGCCUGCUGUUGCUGCAGGCGGCGGCGACCGCCGCCAUGCCGAUUGCGUCGGCCCCCUCUCCCUUGCGGGUGCUGCGGGGAAGGCGCUGGUGACGACAACGGGUAACAUCCGACGGGUGCGGGAGGACGCGUCUGGAUCAACGCGGCCAGUGGAGUGGUUUCCACCGCAGAGGGUGAAGUAGCCCGGAGAGUCCAUGAAAGGCGCUAGAAGCUGCGGGAAGAGGAAGGAGGCGGCGACGGCACGUGGGAGCGCGCAGCGGCGGCGGUGGCGCGCACGAGGAGGCGCUGCGUGGCGGCGCAGUGGGGAGCGGAGGCGACGGCGGCNNNNNNNNNNNNNNNNNNNNNNNNNNNNNNNNNNNNNNNNNNNNNNNNNNNNNNNNNNNNNNNNNNNNNNNNNNNNNNNNNNNNNNNNNNNNNNNNNNNNNNNNNNNNNNNNNNNNNNNNNNNNNNNNNNNNNNNNNNNNNNNNNNNNNNNNNNNNNNNNNNNNNNNNNNNNNNNNNNNNNNNNNNNNNNNNNNNNNNNNNNNNNNNNNNNNNNNNNNNNNNNNNNNNNNNNNNNNNNNNNNNNNNNNNNNNNNNNNNNNNNNNNNNNNNNNNNNNNNNNNNNNNNNNNNNNNNNNNNNNNNNNNNNNNNNNNNNNNNNNNNNNNNNNNNNNNNNNNNNNNNNNNNNNNNNNNNNNNNNNNNNNNNNNNNNNNNNNNNNNNNNNNNNNNNNNNNNNNNNNNNNNNNNNNNNNNNNNNNNNNNNNNNNNNNNNNNNNNNNNNNNNNNGAUGCUGCGGCGUGAUGCAGCAGCUGUAGCGGGCCGGGAUGAAAAACAGAGCGGCGCGGGGGCGGUGGGCUAGCGAAGCGCGGGCGCGGUGGCAACUGGCUAGCGAAGCUAGCUAGCUAGCGAGGCCGUCAACGCGGUCCUGAUGGCUAGCGAAGCUAGCUAGCUGAUGGCUAGCGAGGCUAGCUAGCUAUCCAGGCAGCCAGUAGCGGGACGAGGCGUGUGCGUGGGAGGGCGGAAGCGAGGCACAGCGGCGGCGGCGUGUGGAGGCAGGGGGUGGAGGGGCGCAGCGGCGGCAGGUGCGGAGGUGGGGUGCGGCGGCGGCCGUGGAGGCGCGCCGCCGGCGGCGGCUACCCUAGGGUUAGACCAAAAAAGAUGAUACCAUGUAGACAGAUGAUUUGCAAUACGAUAACUUGGGGUGCUGGUGCACGCAUAUAUAAUACAAGGGAAGGCCUCUGCCUCAACUAUACAAGACUAGGAGGUGGGCCACAACUCCAAUACGCGUGCAGUAUAAAAUACAUACUCAAUACAAUGAUAAUCACGGGCAGCAGGGUUUACGUCGCACUAGGUAGGGGGUAGACGAAAGAUGAAUUUGCAUCAACCAUCAACCCAUAUAUUUGUUUUUGUUUUUUUGGGGAAAUCCAUAUAGUAGUAUUUGUUGGAGAACGAAAUCGAAAGAUUCCUUAAAAUUGAAAAAAAAAACUAGAUAAUUAUGCAGAUUUGUGCGAGGCGCUGUUAUCAAAUUCCACAGCUUGCACAAAAAAGAAGAAGAGGAAAACGGUUUACAGAUUGCGGUCUAUUACUAUCCUAUCUAAACGAUCCAGAUUGAUACACCUCUCCUGUCAAAAAAGGAUUGGUAUACCUCCACGUUUUAUUUUAUCUUUAUUAAUUAGCAAACGAUGUAAGUGUGAUUUAAGUUAAUAAAGCUGGUCAUGAAGGCCUUUUCAUUAAAAAGACGAUCCACGUUGAUACUCGGUGCUUUUGCCAUUUUACGUAACCUCGGAGUACGUUUUAGCGCGAGCAAGCUAGCUAGAUGGGACGAAGCUUGCCUGCUCCCGAACCGUCCUCCCAUCGGUGCUCCCGUCAAAUCCAACGACGCACAGCCUAACCACCGUUUCCCCCAAAUUAAAAACCAACAACGUUGGCCCACUCCCCCCUCCGUUUCUGUAAUAAAGAAAAAAAAACGGCAAAAACCGGGUGCUCUAUCUCUUUCUACCCUCCUGCUCUUUCGAUGAAAAAAAUGGAUUUGACCAGACAGCUGCGAGUGAACUCCAUGGCGUGCAUUGAGACGAGUACGUAGAGGACGACAUGAAUAGCGAGGUUGAGAAAUGAGAAUUGAGAUGGUUAUAGCUUCGACGACUCCGGCGAGGACGAGACUAGGAGCCCCAGAGCACAUGGAGCCGCUUGUGCAAGCCCGCCGGCGCAGGUAUGAUGUCGGCGUACGCGCGGCGCUCGUACACCGGCGCCCGUAGUCUUCGUAGCUGUCUACUCGCGUUGGACACGAAAACGGGUAGAGACAUAUGGUGCACAUCGUGCUCCCUGUCGCAUGCGUCGUCGGGGAACGACAAGCACUCUAGCACGGCCUCCGUGUUCUUCGUCCUCGCACGGUUGUCUCCAUGGUGCCACUGGCGGCCGGUUCGGCAAUGACUAUGGUCAUGUGGAUGCCGCCGAACCGAGGCGGAGGGGCAGCUCCGCGACCAUACGAGCUACAGAUCGACGUGGGCAAUUGGCCGUCCGUAGACGAGGAGCGUCGCCGAAAGAUGAAGACGGCGCGAGGCAUGGACAGCAGGCGGAGCGCCCGGUUUUGUUGGUUUAUACCUUCACGGGAAACAAAGGGAGUGGCGGGGAACGAUGCUGGUUUUUUUUUUCGGGGCAAAGGAAGGCCGGGCUGUGCGUCGUUGGAUUAGACGGGAGCAGGGAUGGGAGCACGGCUCGGGAGCAGGCAAGCCUCAUCCAGCUAGAUGACUACGAGUCUACGACGAUUAUGCUUAAAGGUUAAUACUGAGAGACGAUGACUUGUCACCCGGUGCAACCAAACGUGCAUUUGACUAGCUAGCUGGGUGCAUGCGCGUACAAGGUCGAUCGAUCCUUCCCGAUAUCUGGUUCCAGACGAGUUUGCCUCGUUCGGUUUCGCGGCGUCCAGAUUUUCCACCGGCCGGAUGUGUGGCUCGCGGCCUCGCAUCGCCGUAACCUACGGGACACUUCGCUCGUCUUCUUCCACGGCGAUCACACACCGGUACGUCCACCACCUGGCAUGCACGGACGGGUGGGCCCUCUCGGAAGACUCUCACGCUACGGAUCGGGUCCAGAUUGUCCGCGAGAUUUUUCCCUGCCAAGGAUUGAGAGAGCACCACAUGAUAGAUUUGGGAGCGUGAGUGUGUGUGUGUGUGCCCGGUGUCGUGGAAUGCGCACCACGAUAAAAGGCUUCUUUUCUUUUAGCUUUCGUUCCCGGCCACUGGUUUUGGAGGGUCCUAGUUUAGAUUCUGAUCUUGUCUCGCAAUACAUGGUCUUGAAUGGCCAUGAUUUUUCUCUCUCUGUCUCCCACAGAAAACAAAGAAAUUGCAUUUAUAUACACCACGGCAAACUCAUCAAAGUGAUCGAUGAGUGCCGUCGCCAACAGGCAGGCUGCCUGAGAUCGAAGGCGCCGGAGCUGUCAGAACUGGCAAGGGAGCAAGGCGAUGGACCCGCUGCCCCCUGGUCGAUCAUCUUGUACGUAAAAAAUGCCUCGCCUAGCUAGGUCCUAUUUUGAUUGAGUGUAGUAAACUCCAUGUCCUCGUUAAUUUAGCGGCGAUAUUCCACGUAUGGUCAGUACAAGAAACAGGAAGGGCCCGGGGCACGACUCAGUGGCUCACUCCUCUCCUCUCCUCUCGAUUUGGUCAACUUGAUCCACCAGUUGAGCGCAAAAUAAAGCUGAUGAUUACAUGUCCACCAGCAUCAUGUGGCGCACCAUGGGUUGACAAUUCCCUCCCACCAUAGAGAAAUGGCACAUGCAGGACCAUAAUAUUCCCCUCACGUCGCGGCCGUCCGGCGCCACGGAACGGUCAGAAAAUCUGGACCUGACCGCGUCGAUCCCACCGUAGUACCGGUCAGGCAGCUGGACCGCGCCACACGGCGUGUCUCCCCGUCAAAGCUGGAGGGCCACCACGGUCUGCCCCCACAUGGAACACACGGCCAUGCCGUCUAUCUAGAAUCGAACGCCAUCAUCUCCGGGGGCCGUUUCGGUCCCAAGAGGAGAGCGCGGCCGGCGCGGAGCUAUGCAGCCAGCCGCGUCCUUGACAUGUACUGCCACCAUACGGACGGAUGGAUACAGCUAUAGCUAGCAGCGCGUGAAAAACUCUUCGGUUCCGCGCGCACCCGCCCGGGGACGCCGGGGACGCGAGCUAGUGCGGUCGGUUGGUGAAACGGCGCCGCGAUCACGGGAGAAUCGAUCCCCUCCGCCCGCGCCACGCGCCGACCGACACCGCCUUUUAGGCUGGCCGCUGUAGGGUAGAGCUGGGAAUUCCGGUAGAGCUGCUAGCUAGCUUCCCGGUGCAUGUAAUGUAAGCUCGACCGUAUGACACGAAACGUAUCGGCGUGGGCUCGAGGCGAGGCCUCGACACGUCUCGUGCGUGUCGUGCAUGCGCAUGCCGUGUGUGAGGAGUGCAGGGGACUACCACCUAGUGCUACGACGCAUUUAAGUCUUUGGGUCGGUUGUCCUGGCCUCGCCCGGGAACAGGGAAGGGGCGGCGGGAUCGGGUGAAGCCUGCUUGCCGGGCAGGAGCGCGCGGCCGACGCAAGCGUGCCGGCCGGUGCCGCUUGCGCUUGGGUUGGUUAUCACUCGCUUACUCGUGGGGGAUGGGGCUUACGUCUGGCGAUGAGCACGCUAUGCUUGUGCAAGUUUCUGGCGAGUGCACAUGACGCCUGCUUCUGUUAUCCCAUGUGGCCUAGCCUGUUUUCCAAAGGGAAAGAAUGCACCUGGCACGGAGAAAUACACACAGCAGCACAAUUUGCUUGGGAUAAAACAUAUCCUUAUUUUUGUGUACUCCGUGGUUGUUGGAGAAGAGAGGUUGUAUGUGAGGGCCUACCGCCUCGAGCUUGGCAAACUGUUUUGGAAGCAAGCUUGAUCUAGACUAGCUAGGGGUCGACCACCCUGCAACUGUGCGGAGUCGGCGCCCUAGCUGCUAGCAAAUUCUUCUUCCCGGAGCAGAGCACGGCACGCAUGAGUAGUGUCCUGUCCUUGGCUAAAGUCAGGGGAGAGCAUCGAUCAUGGGAACCGCGCGCGGAAUAGUUGGAAGGGAAGCGUCGGUCGCGCGCCGGGUUACAAUCGGCGCCAUUUGUUUAUGGGGCGCCACAGCCACUUGGCGCCUCGCUUUGCUUGAUGACAACAAUAAGGGCCUGUUUGGUUUCAAAUAAGUCAUCAACUUAUAAGUCGAAAAGUGAAAAAAAAUGACUUAUUUUGUCAAACAGACCCGACUUAUAAGUCACCCCAACUUAUAAGUCAUAAGUUGCUUCACCCCAACUUAAAACUUAUAAGUCACCUUCUUUUGUGUGAGUUUCAUCAUCUACAUGAUGUUGAUUGAUGUAGAAAGAUGUGUCAGGUAAUUUAUAAGCCAGAUGACAAUCAAACAGGCGUGACUUAUAAGUCACUGGUUUUAAGUCACCUGACUUAUAAGUCAGGUGAUUUAUUGAAACCAAACAGUCCCUAAUCUAUGCAGAGGUAUCCGGCGUUCCAGCUAGCUAGGAGCAGACCGCUGCAAGUCCACGGCAGGUAUGCCAGUUGGGGCGAAACCGCGACGAUGACCCAAAUCACACGGAUCCAUCAAGGCCAAGCCAUGGGGCUGGGGAGUUUGGCUUCUGGACGUCUGUAGAGGCCAGACCACAAGACGCUUUCAGUACGUACGUAGGUAUCAGCGUACGCAUCUCUGGCUACCCCGGCCCUUCGAAAUCGAAACAUGUACAAGCUCGACUCUUCCACACGAUAUGAUCUCCAUUUGGUUGUUUCGAAUCCCUCGGUCAACUUUUGAAAAGAUCUUUCUUGGUGUAUUCACAUAUCUAGUGGGCAGCGUUGAUUAUUUCGGCCACGGCAACGUCGAUCCCGUCAGAGAGGGCAGCUAGCACAUGUCAUAGUGCAUGUGAAUGACGUGGAAAGAAGAAAACAUACCCUUUUACGAAAAAAAAACUCCCUCUCCUCUCACCCAUCACCGCGAGCGGGGAGGCAAACCCUAGCGCCUCCACACCCUACCUCCCCCGCUUCCCUCCUAUGUUAAAAAAGGCUUUCGCCCCGCUUUAUAAAUAAAGCAAACCGCCAAAGAGCACAUACAGAGUCAAGUCCACACACACACCCAAGUCUCACAAUAAAGUACAGAGGUUCUGCUGAGGGCACAUCUCAACAAGCCCAGAAAAUAGAAAACAGAACACGCCGGACGAAGACAGCGCCUAGUCUGGUUCCGGCGGCGGCGGCGGGGGCGGCGGCGACAGACGGACAACCAUCGAGCGAAGGUCGGCGAUGAAGGCUGAAAUGACGUCGCGGUCCAGGGGGCGGCUAAGCGGCCGCCAAAGCUGCAAGAAACCCGAGAGUUUGAAAAGAGCGUCAAUAGCCCGUCGAAGAGGAGUGCGCUGAAUCACAAGCUUAUUGCGGAUAGUCCAGAGGGUCCAGACGAAGACCCCAAUCUCAAGCCACCUAAUGUGGCGAGAAGUCGCGGGGGACAGCUGGAGUUCGGCAAAUAAGUCAGGGAAGUUGGUGUGGCACCAAUUUCCACCGACCGCUUCGCGAAAGCAGCUCCAGAGGAAUUGAGCGGACACGCAGGAGAAGAAAAUGAGGUUCGAGUCUUCGGGGACCCCACAGAGUGAGCAGAUGCCAAUACCCGGGCCAUUUCACUUGCGCACCUCCACCCCGGACGGGACCCGACUGCGAAUCCAUUGCCACAUGAAGAUACGGAUCUUCAGGGGCAGGCGGAUGGACCACACCAUCGAUAGGGGGAGGGGGGCGGAAGAUGGAGCGAUGGCCAGGUACAACGACUUGGUGGAGAAUUGGCCCAAAGGCUCAAGGCUCCAGCGCACGAGGUCAGGGCCACCAUCCACCAUCGGUUAGUGGAGAGCAACACAGUCAAGAAACUCACGCCAGGCGGCGGAUUCCAAGGGACCAAAAGGCCGUCGGAAAGCAAGGCGCCCUAAGUCAAGAAGGGCCCUAUCAACAGAAAUCACGGGAUCGACGGAGAUGGAGAAGAGGCCGGGAAAGCGAGCCGCAAAGGGAGUGUUCCCGGCCCAGCGAUCAAACCAGAACAACGUCGCUGCUCCGGAGCCCACCGAGAUGGAGGUUCCGAUACGGAGGACCGGGAGAAGCUGGACAAUCGACUGCCAGAACUGAGAUCCGCCAGACUUCUGGCAGAAGGCGAGGGGCUGUCUGCGCAAUUAUUUGUUCCGGAUGAUGUCAAGCCAAAGGCCACCGUGCCCUUGCGAGAUGCACCAAAGCCAGCGGGAGAGAAUGGCGAUAUUCAUCCGUUUAGAGCACAUGAUGCCAAGGCCACCUUGCUCCCUGGGCUUGCAGAUGCCAGGCCAUCUGACCAUAUGAUACUUCUGCUUGUCGUUGUUGCCCGCCCAGUAAAAGCGGGACUGGACCUUGGCGAUCUCAUGGUGAAGGGUCUCGUGGAGACUGUAGAAGCUCAUGAGAAACAAUAGGAGGCUGGAGAGGGAAGAGUUGAUGAGAAUAGUCCGGGCCGCCUUGGACAGCCACCUCCCCUGACAGGCCUCGAUGCAUGUUUGGAGCUUGGCCACGGAGGGGCGCAAGUCCGUGACAGUUAGCCGGGAGUCACUAAUGGGCGUCCCCAGGUAGGCAGUAGGGAAGGAGCCCAGGCGGCAAUUAAGUCUGUUGGCGAUGGCCAACGACUCCGAUGGGGAGUAUCCCAUCACCAUAACAUCACUCUUGUCGAAGUUGAUCUCGAGGCCCGACAUCUGUUGGAAGCAGAGAAGGAGGAACUUGAGGUUGGAGAUGUCCGUCUCCGAGCCUUCGACCAUGAUGAUAGUGUCGUCAACAUACUGGAGGAUGGAGAUCCCGGAGCCACCGGCAAGGUGGGGAGUAAUCCCACGAAUAUGGCCAGCGGCUUUCGCCUUAUCCAGAAUGGAGGCAAACGCGUCCACGACCAUAUUGAACAAGAACGGGGAGAAGGGGUCGCCUUGUCGAACCCCACAAAGGGUGGGGAAGAAAGGGCCAAUCUCACCGUUAAUGUUCACGGCCGUGCGACCGCAAGAUACCAUUUGCAUGACUCUAGUGAUCCACCGGUCGUCGAAGGCCUUUCGAAGAAGGACUUCCCGGAGGAAGGGCCAGCUAACCGUAUCGUAGGCCUUGUGGAAGUCAAUCUUCAGCAAAACAGCCUUGAGGUGUUUGGCGCGGACCUCAUGAAGGACUUCAUGAAGGACAAGGACCCCAUCCAGGAUGUAACGACUGAGGGAGUCCUAGAUUAGGGGGUGUCCGGAUAGCCGAACUAUCACCAUCGGCCGGACUCCAAGACUAUGAAGAUACAAGAUUGAAGACUUCGUCCCGUGUCCGGAUGGGACUUUCCUUGGCGUGGAAGGCAAGCUUGGCGAUACGGAUAUGUAGAUCUCCUACCAUUGUAACCGACUCUGUGUAACCCUAGCCCUCUUCGGUGUCUAUAUAAACCGGAUGGCUUUAGUCCGUAGGACGAACAACAAUCAUACCAUAGGCUAGCUUCUAGGGUUUAGCCUCCUUGAUCUCGUGGUAGAUCUACUCUUGUAACACACAUCAUCAAUAUUAAUCAAGCAGGACGUAGGGUUUUACCUCCAUCAAGAGGGCCCGAACCUGGGUAAAACAUCAUGUCCCUUGUCUCCUGUUACCAUCCGCCUGGACGCACAGUUCGGGACCCCCCUACCCGAGAUCCGCCGAUUUUAACAUCGACAACGACCAUUAAUGAAGGCCGACUGGUUGGGGUGAGUCACACGGUCCGCCAGCAGGGUCACCCUAUUGGCGUACCCUUUGGCCAGGAUCCGGAAAAUCACAUUAAUGACCGUGAUUGGGCGAAAAUGACGAAUGUCGGACGCCCCAGGGACCUUGGGGAUGAGAGAGAUGAUCCCAUAGUUGAGACGCCCGAGAUCAAUGGAGCCAACGUAGAACUCGUCGAAUAAAGCCAUGACCUCAGGUUUAAUCACGUUCUAGAAGGUCUGGAAAAAUUUAACCGGGAGGCCAUCCGGUCUCGGCGCCGAGGAUGGGUUCAUGCCCUUGAUGGCAUCCCACACCUCUUGCUCGGAGAAGGGGGCCGUAAGGGCCGUGUUCUCCGAAACGGACACCAACUGGGAACCAGACCAACAAUCGGGGGUGAGAGAGAUGCCGCUUCUAGGGGCGGCAGAGAAUAAGGAUCUAUAGAAACCCCGACGUGGGACCGGAUGUUGCUGGGGUCUUGAAGGAGGGUCUCACCGUCCCACAAGAGAGGCAUGGUGUUGCGUAUAUGGCGGCUGUUGGCGAUGGCCUGGAAGUAUGCCGUAUUCGCGUCGCCUUUCAAGACCCAUUUCUGGGCACCACGGAGGCGCCAAUAGGCCUCCUCAUUGGUGUAGAUCACGGAGAGCUAGUCUUCCAGGUCAUAACGGGAGAGCCACUCGUCCGGAGAAAGACCCACCUUGUCGGCACGCAGGUCAAGGGCUUGGAUCACGGAUAAGAACGCCUUCUUGCACUCAUGGAGGUCACGACCUAGAUUAGCACCCCACCCCUUCAUGAACUGCCGACCGUGUUUCACGCAGAAGUGCCACGAAUCAAUGGCCGAAGGGGGGCGGGUGUGGGGGUGGGCGCGAGCCUCGAUCCACCGAGCGCCAACGACGUCGAUAAACCUAGUCUGGGAGAGCCAGAAGGUCUCAAACCAGAAUUGAGGGGUGACCGACGGACGUUUGUCAGCAGAAGAGAGGAGAAGGGGUACAUGAUCCGAGCCAAUCGUCGUGAUGGCGUGAAGGGAGGCUAAGGGGCAGCGGAGGUCCCAAUUCAGGGACACUAGGACCCGGUCCAGGACAGACUAGGUCGAGGAGGCUUGCCGGUUGGUCCAGGUGAACCUGGCACCAAUCCUAUCGAUCUCGCGGAGACCGAGGUCAGCAAUGAAGUCAUUGAACAUUUGCAUCCGCGCAAAGCAGACAUUAUCAUUGCUCUUGUCUUCCGCCAUGCGCAGGAGGUUAAAAUCGCCUCCCACCACCACCGGAAGGGAGGCUGCGGAGAUCUUCCAGUGGAGCUCCUCGAGGAAGGCAGCCAACCGACUAUGGUUAGCAGGCCCGUAGACGAUGAUGACCUCCCACUUGAAGUUGAGAGACCUCUCGAACAGCUCCAUGCUCACAAAGAAUUCCCCUUGAUCCAUGCUACCCACCUCAAAGGUGGCAUCCUUCACGCCUAAAAGGAUGCCACCCGAGUGGUCGGCGCUCCCACUAGAAGGGAGCCAAUGCCACACAAAGAGGUGGGAGCUCAGACGGUCAAGCUCAGGGAGCGAGAAUUCGAGACGCAUGGUUUCUUGAAUGGCAACUAUGUCGAUGUGUCCCUCCCGCAUGUACUCCACAAGUUGGCGGCGUCGGCCAUCAUGGCCAAAACCACGGAUGUUCCAGAAUAAUGCACACAUUAAGGUGCCAUUGGGGGGCUGCUUGACCCCCAGACACGAGAGGCGCUUUGAGCACGGAGGGCCGCGGUGCGGGAGCGAGUGCGACCACGGAUCUCCUCCCCCACCGACAGGGGGGGGGGGUGGAGCCGUCAGCCAUGACGCGGUCGGGGGAGGGGUCUCACCAGCCGCAGGCGGGACGGGUGGCAAAAGGAAGGCCGCACGGGCCUCCGCUAGCCUCCCGUCAAGAAUCUCGUGAGCUCUAAUAGCCGCGAUCUAGAUUAAGGAGGGGUCCUGCUUCCCUCCUAAAAAUGAUUGCGGAGUCAGAGGCAACCUUUGCGAGGUUGCCUAGAGGAAUGGACUCAAGCGCAGAGAAGGAACAAGACGAAGCUGAAGGGGGAACGUAAGGCGUACUGGCUCCAGGUUCUGAGCAGCAGCGCGGAGCUCCGCCCGCUCGGGGAUGGGCAGAGUCGGACUGCCCUCGGGGUGAGCAGCAUCCAGCCGAGCACUCCGACGGGAUGCAAUCACCGAGGAGGAGUCCGACCGGCCGCGGCGAGAGUAGGCGGCGGACCGUGGAGGAGGGGGCUGGGCAGCCAUGGGGGUGGUCACCCUAGCCUCCCCGUCCAUGGCCGGGGCCUCCGCGGGUGACGCUAGAGGCGCGGGCACGAAGCAGCUGAGGAGGAGCGGAGCCGGGGACGGAGUCGCGGAUGAGAGUAGCAUCGGUGGAGGAGGACCGCACAGCCCGCGGUUGCGGCCGCCCGCGGGAGCGUCGGAGGAGGCGCCUCGGGCGGGGUGGGUUGAGCGACCGUGGGAGGCGAAGCCGGAGGGGGGGGGAGUCUGCCACAGGCGGCUCAUCCCCCUCAGGAGGGGCCAUCGAGGCCGCCAGAAGCAGAUUGGGAGCUGGAGCCCCCGGGUCCAGCGCGACAGGCGCAAAUGAGGAAGGGGAGCACGGUGAAGAUGUCGGGCAGACGACCAGGCCAACGCUGGAGAUGUCACUCGCCUCAGAGAACGUCACCACAGAGUCUGAGGGACCGCCGAGGAGCAUGCUGGGGGCGGCCUGACGGCCCUUGCCCCCCGCGGCAGGAGGAGGAGGCGAAGGGGACGGGGAGCGGGAGUCCUCCGAGCCCCCCUCCUCAUCCAAGUGGUGGGAGCACGCACGGUGACGUCCGUGGUAGUCUCCAUUGGUCCCCGGGUUGCCGCCGGGGAGGCCAGCGUCAAAGGAGCGGAUGUGACCGACAUGGUUGGGGGGCUCGGGGGCGAUCCUGAGGUCGAAGCCCUGGUCGUUGAAGAAGACGCGAACGGUGGUGUUAAGCUUGGAGGAGUCGAGGCACUUGAACUUGACCCGGAGCUCCUCCUCCUUGCGCAGAGAGAGCUCAUCGACCACCACCACCUUGCCCAAGAGGCGGGACAUCUGGGGAUGACGAGCUCGGACCGCGCAAUAUCAGGGAGGCCGACAACAAGGAUCCAAGCGGUGUCGAGGACGGCCACGGCAUGAGCGUCCAGGAUCGGCUCGAAGAUGUUGACAACCAGCUGGUUGAGAGCGAGCGUGAUCCGGCCACUGCGCGUCGCAUAGCCGUAGCUGACAGAGUCGGGGAAGACGACGGUGAAGAUGUGGCCAGCAGAGGGGGUGACCACCCAGUCCCACUGGCUACGGUAGAGGUGGUUGAGCUCGGCCUCAAUCAUCUCCGGGGAUGCCACCCCGUCGACCACAUUGACGACCGCCUAGAGAGUGGGAGAGGGCGACGGGACGUCGGGGACCUCCAGGUGGAAGAAGCCCAACCCCUCGAUACUGUGGCCAUACAUCAUGAGCUCUGACACCACCGUUCUAUCCGGGCACAUGAGAGCGGGGUGGCCCGGAUCCUUGCAGAGGUAGUAGCAUUGGGGAUUGACACAGUUGACUUGUGAAUGCCCCCCACCCCCCCUAUUGAAACAGGGGGGCAAGGGAGACCAGAGACGGGCCCGGGCAUGGCGGAAGAUCCCAAGGCCACCAAGGGGGGCACGGGCGGAGCGCCGCAGGCACCCCGACGCUUCUUCUUCUUGGCCGGUCUCGCGCGGCCGCGAGCGGUGCCACCGCCCGAGGCAGGAACCGAAGCCGAGGCCGUGGGGGCGGAGGAAUGGGGCCGCACGUAGCAUCGGGGGGCACGGGCCGGAGGCUGCCCAUGGGCGUGGGGGGAGACAGUUCGCGAUGACCGGGGAGGGGAGGGCGAGCACCUAUGACGAGGGGGCGGGGAGGGGGAUCGCCGACGCGACCGCCAGUCCCCCGAGGCAGCCGGCCGAGGCGACCGAGAACGGCCCCGACCCUCCCGGCGAGCAGGCGAGCGGCGACCCUCCCGGAGCUCCCGGAGCUCACGCCGGAGCUCCUCCUCGGGCCGGAGGGCGUUUGGAGAUGGGCGGGAUCUACCGCGGUGGUCGUCGGCCUUGCGCUUGGAUCGGGCCACCCCAUCGUCCCAGUCGCGCGACAUGGGAAGCCGCAGCAGGGGAGGGGGAGGCAGGGGAGGUGGGGAAGGCGAGGGAGGCGGUGGUGGGCCAGUCGAACAGGACGAGGAGGAGGCUGAUGUCGAUGCAGGAGGGGACACGAUGGGAGGAAGAAGGGGACGAGUAGAGGCGGCGGCGCUGGGGAAAGGAGAACGCGGGAGGCCAUAGGGCAACCAGAUGGAUGGGGCCAGCGCCCUGGGCCUAGGGCAUCCCAGUGGCCCAACGCUAGUGGGCCGGCCCAGGGAGGAGGGGAGGUUAUCCGGCACGACAACACAACGGCCCAGCGGCCAGCGUGGGCCGGGGCCCAGCAGCCCAGGCGCACCAGCGGCCCGGUCCAGGCGACGGGAAGGCACGGGAGCCCGAAGGGUUUCCCUUCCAGGGGCGGGCGCCGCCGCCGCCGCCGGCGCGGCUCCGGCACAAGCAACCAAGGCUGUGGGAUCCCCACGGACCGAGAGGAACCGGAGGCUCGAGGACGCGAAGUCCGUGAUGAAGGGCCUAAAGGGGGAGGAGCACACGAACGGGAUCGGGGGAGAAUGAGCGAAGAGCGUCGCCGAGGGAGAUGGGGAGGCCACCGGCCGAUCCUCCGCCGCCGGGCGGCGCCAGGAGGAGCGGGCGGCACCCCGGUCGGAGCGGAUAGCCACGCCCCAGGAGCGCCCACGCCGGCGGCGCGCAGCCCCACCAGCCAAGCCCGCACCUUGGCGCUCCUCCGCCCGAGUUGAGCUCGAGGGCGUCGUCGGCGACGACUGCGCCGUUCGCGGGCCAGCAGCAGAACCCCUCACGCGGGGGGCUGAGCUGCCAGCCCGGCGCGGCUGCGCGGCGCGUCGGGGAGCGGCGGAGGGCGAGGGGGCUAGGACUGCGGCAGGGGGAAACGGCUCGUCGUCGGUGAAGUCGGCCCAACGGAUCCGAUGCGCGGAGGGCGUGGUAGCAGGAGCGGCAGGAGCGGAGGGGCGCGCCGCGGCCGUCGGAGCGGGGCACCCGCCGGAGGAGGGUGGCUAGGACGGAGGCAGAGGGUGCCACCGGCGACGGGUGCACGCCGUCGCAGGCGCUAGGAUUGCCAGAGCUAGGGAGCGCCAUCCUCAGAUUUCUUCAGUGACCCUGGUUGAUCCGCUCCCCUCCUAUGACGCCCCCGACUCAAUCGUGCACUAAUCAUAUAUAGAAAUGCGCACAAUUAAGAUCAAGGACUCACGGAAAGAUAUCACAACACAACUCUAGACAGAAAAUCAAACAUGAAUAUUUAUAUUACAAACUAGGGCUACGAAGACUCGAAUACAUAAGUCAGUGAAAGCAACAAUAUCUGACUGCACAUAUAAAGACAAAUUUGCCUUAAGAAGGCUUAUCAAAACAACGGCAUCUAGAUCGAAAAGGCGCAGGCCUCCUACCUGAGAGCCUCCUAUCUACUCCUAGUCGUCGGUCUCCACGUAGUAGUAGGCUCCGUCUGUAUAGUAGUAGCCAUCGACAGGAUCAGUUGUCUCCUAGGCUCCGUCAUCUAAUCGCAGCAAUCGGGUAAAGUGGAAAAGAUAACAAAGCAACCGUGAGUACUCAUCCAAAGUACUCGCAAGACUUACAUCAGAUACAUGCUAAGUAUGAAUCAGUAUCAAAGGGAAGGGGCUGUAUUUGUAGACUAUAAUGCAGAAAUACCACAAUAGAAGGGAAGGCCUAGCCUAUCGAAGACUAGCAUCUUGCAGCAACAAAAGAGACUAGAGUAACUUAACAUAUAAUAACAAGUAUAUAUUAGCAAUGCCCAGAGAUCCUUCCUCGGCUCCCUGCAAGGAAGCGAUCCCGGAGCCAUCAUAUCAUUUUAGUUAUCCAGUUCUAGUUGUAGUAGAUCGGGAUACAACUUUGAGCGUCCGUUGCCGUGGACAUGACUAUUAGAAUAUAUAUACUUCCCUGCAGGGGUGCACCAACUUACCGAACACGCUCGAUUAACUUUGGCCGGACACACUUUUUUGUGUCAUGCCCGGCCUCGUGAUCGACGCUCUGUAGUCCUACCUAGGCUCAAUAGAGUGGUCGACACACCGGUCUACAUCCUAAGUGUGAAGGGGUCAUGGGUCAAUCAUCCUAAGCACUCCUACGCAUUGCGUACGCGACCUAGAGCAGACUCAUAUACAAGCGCGGGCAGUUACCGUCCAACCGGGCACGCGACGCUCAACUGCGUCCGAAGAGCUUUCGGGGGAAUCAUACGACGCUGAGUGCCCAUAACUUAUCCCGUGUGGUGGUUAGUAUGAAAAGGCCAGAGACCUACUCAGAUCGCAUAUCCAACCCAUAGUGUAUUGGGGGCUCGCGGAGACGAUCAGUGAUCCUGUCGCCCCGUCUUGCGGACUUACGACAAGGGCUAGGUCCAUCCCUCUCUAGGCGGUCUCUGCCUGGGCGGUCAUGCCACAUCAUUAUCUCGCGGGUACCCUCAUGGUCAACUCGACUUCAAUAACUCUCGCGGGUACCCCUUGGGUCGACCUGACUUCAACAAGGACUGAGGUGAAGGUCAAACUAUCUGUGUUUCCAUAACAUCAAGGGUGAGGAAUCGCCCUCGAUGGAUUCUCACUCGAUGUAACCGUCAAGGUGGCCUUGGAGGAAUCACCCUCGAAGGGUUCACACUUGAGGUGUUGCACGACAGAGUCAUCAUCGAGAGUGGUGAAUGAGGAAUCACCCUCUGUAGUCCACGACUGAUUGGCUACACUACAGAGAAAUCAGGAGUGAGAUACGAGGUAUCACCCUCGUCACUCGUAAGUAGCUCUGCAGAGUCGUACAACUAAGGGGAGUGUCGGUGAUGUGUCGGUCUCUGCACCUCGAUCACAUUGAUCGAGUCAUCCGAAAGCAAAGCAUGGCAACACGGACAAGGGUGUGGGACAUCUGAUGGAUCACUAACCAGCGUAUACUAAGCAUAUGACAACUGGUAAAGUAUCAACAAUAGGUUACAAAAUCAGGCCAUGCAUCAGAAUAGGAGCUAUUGAAUACAGUAGCAAAAUCUAAUUCAAGCACGGGAGAAAGAGAGUGGGCGAUAUAGGAAUGAUCAAGAGGGGGUUUGCUUGCUUGAAAGCUCUACGGCAAGUGGCUGAACGUCUGCAGCGUAGUUGUACUCGGUGGCGUCAGCGUCGGCCUCGGGGUCUACCGGAGAAGAAGAGGGGGAAGAAAUAGUGAAUAUAAAGCACACAGAUGCAUCACAAUGCAUGAGAUGGUGAUAUGCUAUGUUAGGGGUGACCUAAUGCAGUGCUAGGUGUUAUAGACGAAGCGGGAAAAUAUCCUGAAGUAUUUUCCUAGCUCCAGGCAUUUAUCGGUCUGACGAUCCGGAGGGGCAUGUUCCAUGUUUGUAGUGUUAGAGGCAUGAGGUAGGUAUGUGGAUGGCAUAUUCGGAUUCAUCUUAUUUUUCUGAUCAUUUUUCAUACAUAAAUUAUUUUAAUCCGAGUUGCGGUUUAGUUUAUAUGAUUUUCUAAAGUUUUAAUAUUUUUCUGAAAUUUCUAGAAUUUUCUGUUUAAUUUUAAUCCGAAUUGACCAAGUCAAUAUGAUGGUCAAAAGGCAAGGUGGUGGCCCACGUGUCACUAUUUUUAUAAUUUCUAAAAUGAUUUGUCUAAUCUAAUUAGAUGGGACCCACUUGUAAUUUGCUAAUAUGCUAAAUUAGCACUAAACUAAUACUAAGCUAAACCUAGACUAAUUAAACAAGGGCCGGCCACACACACGGCUAUGUACAGGGGCCUUGGCGACCAUGGCCAGAAGUGGUAGUAGCAGCAGCAAGCGAGCAGCAGCACGUAACGGCAGCAGCUUGAGCAGCAACAAUACGCAGCGACACCAGCAGCAAGAGAGGGGCGCGACUGCCAGCAGCAGAGCAAAGCAGCGGCAGCAGCUUGCAGUAGCUAGCAAUGGCCGCAGUACAACAACAAGAGCAGCAGCGUAAGUCCUUGUACAAUGGGUGGUGUUUAGAGAGAUGCUUAGAAAAAUAAAUUAGAUUUUUCUGAAGCACUGGUGCAUAUUUUUACAGAAGAGACUACCUAAGGUAUGUAUCCAACCCAUUACUUUGUCUGAUUUUUUCCCGCAAGAUGAUUGGAGUCAGGUUGUUCGUAAGAAGAAGAAGAGGAGAGGGAGACCUGAGCCAGCGCCGCCGGCGUCGGAGAUCCGGGCGGCGGCUAAGAUCCGGGCAGCUAGGGCUGCUAGUUUGAAAUUCCUCCUUGGCCACGAUGGGGUCGUUGAGGAGUGGGCCGGUUGUGAGCCCGUGCAUGGGUAUGAGGCCCAGCAUGGGGGUGUUGACGAGGGGCUUGAUGGACCGGCUGCGACUGGGUAUGUGGCCCAGGAGAGCCGGGACGCGCCCUCUCAGCCUGGCGUGCCUUGCAGGGUCGAGGCCCUUGCUGGACCGGGCAACGCUUCUACUCUUCGUGCGAUCCCAUGCACGUACGAGGACGUUCGUCUCCUUCUCGCUCGUGCGCCGCCGUUUCCUAGGGUUCGCAAAGUUGGGACGAGGGGUUUCCCUCCCUGUGGUAUUCGUCGGGCUCGGAGAAUCCGGCCAUUGCUAGGCAUGGCCGGCCGUGGGGAUGCGUCGCCGCCAGCCAAGAAGCCCUCCUCCGGUACGACGGGACGGGGUGGGGCGGCGCCGCCGCCGGCGGCAGGUGCCGGACGUGGCGUCCUGGCGCAGCCUGGCCAAAGGCCGCCGGCGGGUGGGGCCGUCGUGCACAGUCACCCAGGCAGAGGCGCUGGCCCCUUGGGUGCGCGGCCUCCAGGGCAAGCUCACCUGCAGCCGGCCUCUGGGAGGGGUAGCCUGAGGCCGCCGGCGCCAGGCGCGGUGCCCAUUGCUCCUGCUGCCGGACGGGAUGGUCUGAGACCACCGGCGCCAGGUGCGGCGCCCUUUGCUCCGCCGGCUGCGGGUUGUGGAGGCCCUCGACCUCCCGCGCCGGGCGCAUCUGGUGAGACUCCGGCUGGCCGCGGUGGAGGGCCUCGGCCUAUUGGGGGCUUGCCGGCGACCGCAGGCAAUCAACCACGGGAUGCACCUCCGCCCAAUUACGUUGCAAGGCCGGCGCAAAACAGGUCCGGUCCGACUCAGACAAACAACAGAGAGCCCAACGUUCCGCCCCGAGGCCAGUGGGGGAUGAUGGGUAUGAUGCGUAUGGUGAUGGACAGCACCGAGGAUCCUCUUCCACGGGAGGAGGUCGUGGAUAUGCCUGGCAAAGCGACAGGUCUGCUGAGAGACCGUUUCUCGGCCCGGCAGGUUGUUUUGUCGAGGGGGCCUCCGGCCCGGAUCACCGUCAAAGAGGAGGCUUUCGUGGCCAUCGUGGUGGUCGGGGUGGGGGCCGUGGGAGAUUCCGCCGACCGCCCCCGCCCAGGGCUGUUGUUCCUGCGGCAACUACAGUGGAGUCUGAUCAUACUUCCACUGAGCUUCCUUCCCAGGCGAUGGAGGUGGUGAACGCCUUGGCCAGUGUUGAGGUUCCUGAGGCUGGGACGGUGGAUGAGGCUACCGACAGGUCGGAUGCCGACAGGGCGUCCAAAUAUGCACGUAAGAAGGAGAGGAUGAUUUGUUACCGUUGUGGUGAGAAGGGCCACUUCAUUGCUGAGUGUGUGGCCCAGCUGUGUGAGUCGUGUGGCAAGCCUGCACAUGACUCGGGGGAGUGCCCGUUGUUGCGUGACCUGCCUCCGACACUGAAUAUUUAUGGAGUCUAUUGUGUUGAGCUCAUGUUUUUUGAGUCCCCGGCGGCGAGAGAGGUCCCGGAAGAUACCCUGAGCUUGACUACCGGGAUUGUGAGAGCGACCCAGGGCGAGGUGACUGAGGCACAGAUUGUGAGGAGGCUUCAGGAGCUGGCUCCCGGGGAUUUUAGAUGGGAAUUGGUGCUUAUCGAGGACAGGGUUUUUAAGGUUGAUUUCCCAUCUGUGGAUGAUUUGCAGAGAUUGUUGAGCUUUGGCUUGUGUAAAGUCCCCGGUACUAAGUGUAUCCUGGAGUUUAACGAGUGGAAGCAGGUUGAGCCUAAGGGAAAGCCGCUUACGCAGGUCUGGUUGCGGUUUAUAGGGGCUCCUUCUAAGCCUCUGCAGGAUGCUCGAGUGGUGGCCAGUAUGGGCAUCAUGGUUGGGAAGACAGAAAACAUGGAUAUGGCUUUCACACGUGCCCAUGGGGUGGCCCGUCUUUUAGUAAGUGUUCUGGAUAUUCAGUUCGUGCCUGAUAAGGUCAACUGGACAUAUAGGGGAGAGGUGUUCCCGCUAGAGAUCGAGUUUGAGGACACCGAUUUAUUUGCUGAUGCGGUUAAUGGUAAUGAUGUUGACAUGCACGACAGUGAUGGUAAUGCGGGGGCCAAGGGGGCACCGUUAGAUGAGCCCACGCGAGAGGGGUCUAAUGGUUCUCACCCAGCUACUCAGUCGCCUGGGGAUGGGACCGGGGUUGAGCCCACAGUUUCACCAAUGGUGCCCAUGACUACUCUGUGUUUUGGGUCUUUUGAGCCAGCCUCGGCACCUCCCAGACUAUGGAGUGACCGGGUAGAUUCUGGUGAUUAUCUUGAGCACACGCUCCCUCCGUUGGAGUUCGAGGGGGAUGCUGGUUUGUUUGCUGGAUGGCCGGCAAGGACUUUGGUCGGCGCUACGGAGAGGAGGCCGGAGGGUGCUUCUCUUGUCCUGGCGCCUCAUGUGGACGCGACUCCGGUGUCGGCGAUUGCGGGCACGAUGGGUCGUGGGGUAGGGGGUUCGGGGCAGGUGGCCUCGUCUUCUCCCAUCCCCAUACCGAUCCCGAUGGCGUCGGUGGCGCCGGCCCUGAGGGGGUCGACCGGUGCUGGGAGAGGGAGCCCGAGGCAGGUGGCCUCGACUCCUGCUACUCCGAUGGUGGCGAUAACCACCGCGGCAGCAGCUGCGUUGGGGGGACGCCAGGGUAGGAGGCCCUGUCUCCUCCCUCUUCACCGACGGUCAGGAGGACCGCCUCUCCCUCGCCGAUGGCUCUUCCGUCUGAGCCGGCGGCUGGGGUGGGAGGAGGGUGCAGGCAGGCGGCCCCCGUUAUCCCCUCUUCGCUCCUACCUAUGGCCGGGGUCCCUGGUGUGGGGCACCCGUCUAAGGGGAUCGGGAGCCCGCAGACGCCCUCUCUGGUAACCUCGGCACCCCCUUUGAGGGUUUCCGUGCCAGGUUUUACUAGGGAGGAGGUUGUCGCGUUUGGUAGGAUCCCAGACCCUAUCUUCGAGGGGAGACGGAUGAGUGCUCGCAUCUUCGACAUCCCUAAGGUGGAUGAUAUGCAGCAGCGGUGCGCUAUGAGGGCAGCCAAGCUUCAGGAGGCUGCUUUAUCUUCUGGUAUGUCCAUCAACUUAUCUAAUUCCUUAUUGCAUUUUUCUAAUGAGGACAUUAUAAAUAAUGCAAACCAAUUAGGAGUUUCACUAGGUGCUACGGAUAGUGAGAUUACCAAUUCGGUGAAUGAUCUAUUAGAUUUGGAGGCGGAACGUGCUUUAGAGACUAUUCGUAAUCUUGCGGCAGUUAAAGCAAUGAAUGAUGAUGAGAUUGAUGCGUUAGGGGUUAGAGUGCUCGAUAAUCUGUGUGCGGAUCUAGCACCCCCCAAUCAUGACUCUGAGGAAGAUGAUGCACCCCUAGAGAAUGAUGCUAGGAAUAUUUGUGAACCCGGUUAUGAGGACCGGGCGACUGAGCUUAGUAAACCUAAGCGUAAGUGGAAACGGAAGAUCUAUCCCGAUUCCGCAGUUCGUAGGAGUGCUAGGAUUCGAACCACUAAAAAAUUCCAUGAUGAAUUAUGAGAGGAAUAUUUUGGAAUAGUAGAGGUCUGAAAGACUUGGCUAAAGGAAGAUUCCUAGCUGAGACAGCUUUAGAGCAGAGGUUAGAUUUUGUUGCUCUAUCGGAGACGGGUAGAGAUAACUUUGCGCCCCAGUUUCUCUCUUCUCUUGUGGGUGGUAUUGAUUUCGAUUGGCAUUGCCUCCCUCCGCGAGGAAGAUCGGGUGGUAUCUUACUAGGUGUGAGAUGCGAUUCGCUUGAAGUCCGAAGUGUAGUGAUGGGCGACUUCACGGUGAAGUUUUGAGUCAGGUCUAGGAUAGAUGGUUUUAAUUGGGCUUUGGUGGCGGUUUAUGGUGCCGCACAGCCCGAGCUUAAAGUGGAGUUUCUGGCGGACCUUGUUCGAAUCUGUGGGUCAGAACAGCUGCCAAUUUUAGUUGGAGGUGAUUUCAAUAUCAUCAGGAGGAGAGAGGAGAAGAACAAUGAUAACUUUGACGACAGAUGGUCGUUCAUGUUCAACACCAUUAUUGAAAGCUUGGAUCUGAGAGAGAUAGAGCUUUCUGGUAGAAAGUUCACCUGGGCUAAUGCUCUGCCAAACCCAACCUAUGAAAAACUUGAUCGAGUUCUUGCGAGCGUGGAGUGGGAACAAAAGUUCCCUCUGGUUACGGUGCAAGCUCUUUCGAGGGGAAUAUCUGAUCACACCCCAUUGUUCGUGGACUCAGGGGAGCCGAACCACGUGGGUAACAAGAGCACCUUCUCGUUCGAGAUGUCAUGGUUUGAACGUGAGGGCUUCUUGGACUUGAUUGCCAGGGAAUGGGUUAAAGGUGUAGGAGGCAAGACUGCGAUAGAGCGUUGGCAGAAUAAGGUUAGGCAUUUGAGAAGUUUCUUACGGGGUUGGGCUAAGCACCUCAGUGGUGAGUAUAAGAUUGAAAAGGAUAGACUCCUCACUCUUAUACAGGCCCUGGACAUAUAGGCCGAAUCCACUAUUUUAUCGCCAGCUGAGCUUCAGGUUAAAAAUGAGGCGGAGAAGAGGUUAAAAGAACUGCUCCGCGAAGAAGAAUUGAAGUGGGCUUUGCGUGCUAAAGUCCGCAAAGUGGUCCAAGGGGAUGCGAAUACUCAGUUCUUCCAUUUGAUAGCUAAUGGCAAGCACGGAAAGAAGCAUAUCUUUCAGCUUGAGCAAGAUGAGGGCACUAUUUUAGGUCAGGAUAACCUAAAAACAUAUAUUACCGACUAUUAUAAGCAGUUAUUUGGACCUCCGGAGGAUAAUUGUGUGUCCCUCGAUGAGUUCAGGACUGAGGAUGUACCUCAGCUAUUGGCUGCCGAUAAUGAUAUUCUGGUUGCCCCGUUCUCGGAGAAGGAGGUGUUUGAUGCUAUUGCACAGAUGAAAAACAAUAAGGCUCCCGGACCGGAUGGAUUCCCGGCAGAGUUCUAUAAAAAGUGCUGGCACAUUAUUAAGGGGGAUUUACUACCUAUGUUCCAUGAUCUGUUCUCUGGACUGCUUCAACUAUUUCACUUGAAUUUUGGGACUAUCACACUGCUUCCUAAGAAGACGGAUGCGGUGAGAAUUGGGCAAUUCAGGCUGAUCUGUCUCCUCAAUGUUAGUUUCAAAAUUUUCACCAAGGUCGGGACUAACAGACUCACACAGAUUGCGCAUUCUGUGGUGCAACAGUCCCAAACCGCUUUCAUGUCGGACAGAAAUAUCCUUGAAGGGGGUGGUAGACCUGCAUGAAACACUCCAUGAAAUCCAUUCCAAAAAAUUAGAUGGAGUAAUUUUUAAGGUGGAUUUCGAGAAAGCGUAUGAUAAGGUCAAAUGGCCAUUCCUCCAACAGUCAUUGCGUAUGAAAGGUUUUGAUGAAGCCUGGCGCCGACAGGUUGAAUCAUUUAUGCAAAAAGGUAGUGUGGGAAUUAGAGUUAAUGAUGACAUAGGUCACUACUUCCAGCCACAUAAAGGCCUAAGACAAGGAGAUCCGAUGUCCCCUAUCUUGUUUAACAUUGUGGUGGAUAUCUUAGCAAUUUUGAUAGGAAGGGCUAAGGAAAAUGGUCAAGUAGGUGGAUUGGUACCUCAUCUUAUUGAUGGAGGUGUGUCCAUCCUUCAGUACGCUAAUGAUACAAUCAUAUUUAUGGAGCAUGACUUGGCCAAGGCGAGAAAUAUGAAGCUUGUGUUAUGCCUAUUUGAACAAUUGACCGGGUUAAAGAUUAACUUUCAUAAGAGCGAGCUGUUCUGUUUUGGUAGGGCCAAAGAUGAAUAGGAUGCUUAUAGGCAAUUGUUUGGGUGUGAGUUGGGAGAGUUACCCUUCUCUUACUUGGGGAUUCCAAUCCACCAUCGUAGGCUGACAAACAGAGAAUGGAAGUGCAUCGAGGACCGAUUUGAGAAGAAAAUGAGUUGCUAGAAGGGUAAGCUCAUGUCAUACGGAGGCCGAUUAAUCCUAAUUAAUUUGGUGCUCAUGAGUAUGCCAAUGUUUCUCCUAUCGUUCUUUGAGGUCCCAGUUGGUGUUAGGAAGAGACUGGACUUCUAUCGAUCGCGUUUCUUUUGGCAGGGUGAUGAGCUUAAAAGAAAAUAUCGGCUUGGUAAAUGGGAUAUCAUCUGUAGACCAAAAGACCAAGGGGGUCUAGGUAUCGAGAAUCUAGAAGUUAAGAAUAAAUGCCUUCUUAGCAAGUGGCUGUGGAAGCUCUCAUCGGAGAAUGAUGCUAUGUGGGCUCAAAUCCUUCGCAGCAAGUACCUCCAGACAAAAACUUUGUCCCAAGUUACAGUUAGGCCGACCGACUCGCCCUUCUGGAAAGGCCUGAUGAAAGUCAAACAGGCCUUGUUUAAUAGGACGAAGUUUGUUAUUGGAAACGGCACGAGUACACGUUCUGGGAGGAUACUUGGCUCGGCGAGACACCCUUGGCCAUCCAGUACCCGUCUUUGUACCGCAUUGUUCAACGACAUGAGGUGUUCGUCGCAUUGGUCUUUCAAUCUACCCCCCUUAAUAUUCAGUUCCGACGAACGCUAGCGGGCAAUCGUUGGGAAGAAUGGCUCCGUCUAGUUAGGAGACUGAUGGAAGUCCAGCUUUCACAACAACCCGAUGAAUUACGCUGGAAAUUGACUAAGUCUGGAGCUUUCACGGUUAAAUCAAUGUAUAUUGAUGUUAUUAAUUCGAACUCUAUUCCUACGUCCAAGCAUGUUUGGGAUGUCAAAGUUCCUUUGAAAAUAAAAGUGUUUAUGUGGUUUGUCCAUAAACAAGUUAUUUUAACUAAGGACAACUUGAUAAAGCGUAAUUGGACAGGACCUACUAGGUGUAGUUUCUGCGAUCGGGAUGAGACUAUCAAACACCUCUUGUUUGAUUGCUCGUUGGCCAAGGUACUUUGGCAGACGGUCCACAUUGCUUUAAUAUCAAUCCACCAAAUUCUGUUAAUGCGUUAUUUGGGACAUGGCUUAAUGGGAUUGAGCCUGACUUAGCGAGACAUAUUCGGGUUGGAGUUUGUGCUUUGCUGUAGACUAUCUGGACUUGUAGAAAUGAUUUGGUUUUUAACAGAAUAUCAUGUACAAUUUUUGUAGGUCUUAUUCCGAACUACGACACUGAUCCGUUCGUGGUCGCUACUCACCCAGACGGAGGCCAGGGAGCAUUUGGUUACUGGGUCCUUCCACUGGGAGAUGGUAGCUCGGGAUAUCUUCAACCGGUUUGGAUGGCGGUCAUGUAAUAGGAUAGGCAUUUAGUAUCCCUAUCUAGUUUUAGCCAGCCGGUUGUGGCGUCUUUUCUUGGCUAGUUGAUGUUUCUAGCCCUGUUUGGCUCUGUGUGAGCUUUCUGUGCUUUUUUUAUUACUUUAGGAGACCUUUGGAACCAUGUUGGCACUACUUUAUUUGGUUAAUAAGAUGGCCGUAUGCAUCUUUCUGAUGCAGAGGCCGGGGAAUCCCCCCUUUUCAAAAAAGAAAAAAAAUAUUUCUACAGAAGAGACGCUUAGUUAACCGUCUAUCAUGUACAAAUAAGCACCGGUGCUUAAGAAAAGCCUGGUUUAUUUCUCUAAGCACCUCCACUAAGCACCUCCCAUUGUAUAAGGCCUAAGAGCAGCAACGGCGGCAACGAGCAGUUGCGGUGCGGUGCGCGCGGGGGCGGCCAAGGCAACAGUCACGCGUAGCAGGAGCGGUGAGCAGCAUAAGCAGUAGCGGCACGUGCUCACGCGCAUGCAGGAGCUCGGAUGAGCUCGGGAACAGCGGCACAAUGACAUAUCGAAGGAGGAAAGGGGGAAUCGAUAGAGUAGCUAGACGUGGUCAGGAGGUGCGGGGGUGGGCGGAUGCGACGAGUCCGACGACAAGAUGCGGCGGCCGUGGGCGAAGAUGACGAUGAUGGCGAACGUACGGUGCCUCCUAGCUCGAACCUUCCGCAAGGGUGACAGAGACGACGAUGGCAGAGUUCCUCGACGUCUUCUCAGGUGCUGAGGUGGACGGUGGCCGCGGUAACGAUGGCGACCAUGGCGACCACGACUCGGGCGAGCUCUAAAUAGAAACUGAGAGGGGCGAGGAGACGAACUGAAGGGCUAGGUCUUGGCCAAGAGGGUGGUUGCGGCUUUAUAGGGCCUCGAGGACGGCUCGGAUGGUCGACACGCGACCAAGGUGCAGCCAUGACGGCUGGAUGACAGCCGCGCCCUCCCUCGAGCAAUGGCGAUGUUCUGGUGUCGUAACCUUUUGAAGAUACCGCCUUGGAGCCCAUGGUUCGUCGUGUGCGACUUCAUCUCUUCGUGAUGGCGUGUUCACAGUUGAGGACCCGGGUUGCUUUUGUAUUGCUAGGGGUGGUGUGGCUGCGCUCAACACCUAUGUAUCAUGUCUUGGGUGUGUGCAUGUGUUGUGAUGGCGUGCAUUUGUACUGGGUUGUGGAUGAUCGUUGCUUUAUAUAUAAAGCGGGCAGAAGUCCUUUUGUGUAAAGAAGAAAACAUAUACAUAGUUCAAAACCAGUUGCAGUUGAAAGAUCGCGCGUAUUUAGAAUUGUUUUUCUUUCAAGAGUGCGCCAAUGGCGAAUUUAGAAUUGUAGCCGGUUAUAUUCCGGUCAGGGAAAACUGAGUCAACAAGGUACUCCCUCCGUCCUGGUGUAUAAGUCAUCUUAGGUUGUGCAUGGCGACCAACGCGGAGGGUAAAACGAGAGAACUUAAUUGUAUUUGCUAAUUAAUAGCAUUGCAUGCAAAGAACUGACCACUGCACGUCAUGUUUGGUAGUCUCAGGUCACUGAAAGCAUACACGCUCCACAUCUCUUAUUGGUUGAUUCUUUUAUUUAUAUCAAGAAACAAGAAAUGAGGUAGGAGUUAAUGCACCGCGCCUAAGUGUUUUGAGAUUAUUUGAUUUUUGUUAUGUGAGUUAUACAUCUAGAUGGAGGGAGUACCUGCUAACUAUCUUCAGUAGUUAAAUGAUGAGAGUAAGGGCAUCUUCAACACCGACCCACAAACCUUUCGCAUGCAUUCGGAUUGCUCUAUCCGUACAUCGGAAGCCAUACAACGCGGGUCUAUAUCGGUCCGAGGCGCGGUCCGGACGCGAUUUCCCCACAAACUGAAGACAAACGGGGGAGCCUUUGCGGGAGUUUGGACCAAUCCUACGCCCCCUUUUGACCUUCAUGUCCCACCAAAACCCCUCCUCCCUCGUCCACGUGUGUUCCCGCCUGAUGCCAGCUGCCUGCAUUCAUGUCAUUGUAGAGGGCGCCGCUUAACAUUGAAGAUGACUCAAGGCGGACGCGACCUCUCACUGCCUCCGCCAUUGAAUCGGCGAGCCGGCCGAGGGCACCGCCCGCGACACAUCUCUAGUGUCCUUGCCUGUUCAAUUCCCAGGACGCGUGAGUGGACAAGAUGGGAGAAUAUCUGCCACGCCCAUCCAAUACCAUUCUCCAUCCAUAUGCCGCCAUUAAGCAGGCUCGCUGGCCGAGAAACCCAUUCUUGCGUCGCGCAUUAACACACCCGAACGCCUCGCCUCACCAGAAUCCGCUAUAUAAAGGUGGCCACACCCGACUAACUCCACACCGCCCUCCCCGUCCUCCUCCCUUACACCGCAUCCGCCAUGACAGCAGGUGGUGAAGCUCUGUGGGAGAGCCUUUCCACGGAGAUGUAGUACGCCGUGGCCGCCCUAGCCGCUGCCUGGCAAAGCCGCCGUGCCAGGCUGAUUGAGGCCGGCUUGCCGGCCGACUCGCCUGAGGUCUCCGACAACGAGGAUGAGACCAUGAUGGAGACCGCCUCCGAUGACACCGCCUGGCUCCCACGCCUCCUGCGCACGUCAACUUCACCAUGGAGUAUGCGCAGGCGCACUACAACGCCGCCAUGGCGGAGGUGCGGCAUGCGUCGAUGCCUUUGUCAGCGUUCCAAUAGGCCAAGANNNNNNNNNNNNNNNNNNNNNNNNNNNNNNNNNNNNNNNNNNNNNNNNNNNNNNNNNNNNNNNNNNNNNNNNNNNNNNNNNNNNNNNNNNNNNNNNNNNNNNNNNNNNNNNNNNNNNNNNNNNNNNNNNNNNNNNNNNNNNNNNNNNNNNNNNNNNNNNNNNNNNNNNNNNNNNNNNNNNNNNNNNNNNNNNNNNNNNNNNNNNNNNNNNNNNNNNNNNNNNNNNNNNNNNNNNNNNNNNNNNNNNNNNNNNNNNNNNNNNNNNNNNNNNNNNNNNNNNNNNNNNNNNNNNNNAUCUACGGCGAGAGGGUGAGCGAGGUGGCCGUGGCGGCCAUGGCCGCUGUGAACCCCAACUUCCUCAUAGAGCAACAUGCCAUCUACGAUGUCGUCCGCUCUCAAGCCACUGCUUGCAAGGAAGUGGCCAUGAUGGAGGGGCAAUUGCAGGCGAUCACGGAGGAGAACAAUGCCAGCUACACCUCCUAAGUGUCGCUGACGAACCAUUAGGCGGCCCGGUGGGACGACCACAGCGCCGGCGCCACCAUUUCCAUCGUGGACCUCACAUCCACCGGCGACAGACAGGCUGUAAACUCCUCCGAGGAUGAGUAGGCCACGGGAGGCGGCAGGGCCUUGUGCCCCAUGUCAAACGAUCUGUCUCCUGUGUUCUACUCUUCCUUGCCGGAGACUGCGCCUUCACUUCAUAAGUCUGAUUACCGGUGAUCAUGUAGACGGUAGAUGGAGGACGACACAGGCUUGGAGGCCGGGCUCUGUCGUCGUAGGAUAGGUUUAGGAUUGGUUUUUUUGUCAUAAAUGAUUGAAAUGUAAUGAAAACAUGUCGUGUUUGUAUGAAAUCCAUCAUGUUUAUAUGAAAUUCAGCCUUAUUUGCACAAAUUUCAUCCGGUUUGUUGAAGAAGAGUUUGAACUAUAUGCGACUAGUAUUGGAUGGCGGCCUCCCGCAGCUAUGUCCGUAGACUGGUCCUUCCAUAUCCACAGACGGAUGCUAGAGGAAAUUUGCGGGUUGCUGUUAGAGAUGCCCUUAGCCGCAUAAAUUUUGACAACAAUUUGAACCAACCCGAAGAAAUUCGUACAAACACGACCGAAUUUCAUAUAAACAUGAUGGAUUUCAUACAAACCGGAUGAAAACAUUUACAUUUUGAACAUAUUUUAACUAAAAAGUUGAAACUAUGUGCACAUAUGGUCGUGCGGAGCUCCACUCCCACGACAUGGAUACACUACACUAGUCAACGGCCGGGCGCAGUGGAUCCCUUUGUCUUUCCCAUGUCCUGCAGCCCACUCACUGGAUUGUUGAGAGCCCCAGAGGUAUAUGCUUCAACGCAAAGGAUGGCUCGCUUCCCCACUUCUCAUCAGAGUGGAACCAUCGGCUGAUGCUUCAGCCGGAGGGGAAGGGGAGUGCUUUCGCUUCUGUGGAGCGAAUUCAACCCACGACACGGAUACACUACACUAGUCAACGACCGGCCGCGACGGAUCCCUUUGUCUUCCCCAUGUCCUACAGCCCACUCAUCGGAUUGUUGGGAGCCCCGGAGGUAUAUGCUUCAGCGCAAAGGCCGGCUCGCUUCCCCACCGCUCAUCAAAGUGGAACCAUCGGCUGAUGCUUCAGUUGGAGGGGAAGGGGAGCGCUUCCGCUUCCGUGGAGCCCAUUCAAUGUGUUGGCAAUGGUCUGCAAUGAAAAACCGGGCAAGACACCGAUUGUGUACGCCAGCGCCAUCGUGGUGGUGGCCUUCAUGGGACCCAAACGACGGCUGAUGAUGAUAUAGACUGGGGUAGGGUCAUGGGCCUGAUCCAUAUGUCCUACCCAAGGUCACUACCCUGGAAGAUAAGAAGUCCAAGAGGCAAAAGGAGACCCCCAGUCAAAGAUGUCGAGUGCAAUUCACUCGACCAGUCAUAUCACUCGUGCGACCCCCUACCUAUUGCCACUCGACCAUGCAAGGAACCACUCGACCCACCGAAGAUCAGGAGUCACUCAGCACUGCAAUGGUCAGGCAUUCACUCCGUAGUCUUUAAGGUCAUAAAUAACACUUAAGGCUGGCGUUAUUAGUAACACCCCUUCUUUAUGUACAUUAAGCCCCUUAUAAUGGAGGACGACUGGGGUCCUGGAGCACUCUAUAUAAGCCACCCCCUCCUCUGGGACAAGGCUGGGCACCCCCUGUAACAUCACACACAUAUAAUCCAGUCGACCGCCUCCGGGCACCAAGACGUAGGGCUGUUACUUCUUCCGAGAAGGGCCUGAACUCGUAAAUCCCAUGUGUACACCUUCACCAUAGCUGAGAUCUUGCCUCUCCAUACCUACCCCCCUUUCUACUGUCAGUCUUAGAUUCACGACAGUUGGCGCCCACCAUGGGGCGGGUGUCUUAGCGACUUGUUGGUGAAGUUGCGAUUUUUCCGAUCACCAUCAUCAUUGUUUCCGGCAGUGGAUUGGCUGAGGGCCACGAGAUCCGUCUCGGUGGCUUGUUUUCAUCGCCGACGAUUCUGCUUGACUUCAGGAAGCUCCCCUUGACGUCGGGGCGCUCCCACGUCUGAGGAGCGAGGCACUUUCACGCGUGCGUUCGGGGCGUCCUUCUCCGGCAGCCGUUGACCCAGUAUCAGCCGGCUCCGAUGGUGUCUGCCCUUCCCGCUGUUCGCCGCCGCAAGCGAUUUGGUCGGUCGCGGCUUCAGUGGUGGGUGAAACACGCGGUGGCUCAGCAUUCGGCCACCCAUCAAGUCACGACAAUCAAGCCCGACGAAACUCUCCAUGGCUUGUUUGAUUUGUCGACUGGCUCUGCGGAGACCGCAUCCGAGUGCGAUAGCGGUGACCCUGCGGCUGAAGUCUUGAUGGUCAAUGGACCAUGUAGUCCGCCUAGUUUCCGCCAUGUUGACGGUGAGGAUGGUGGCGGAGAUCCGUCACGCGUCCACGAGGAGUACCAUCCCGAACCCCUCUCUUUGCAGCAGAGGGAAGAACUUCGUCGCCGCAACAUGGAUGCACUCCACACACCCAUUGUUGGAGAAACCCCCGAGGCUCGAGCCUUCGAAGAGGUGCGCUUGGCUAAUUUGGCUGAGCACACUUGACUGGAGAACCUUCAGCACGCUCUCGACGAGCGUGCUCGGGAGCGGAUUCCUGAGUCCAAUCGACGACAGCUUUUCCCACCUCUUCCUAAGGUAUACCGUACUCCGAUUCAGAAUCUCACAGCUGCGGCCCGAAUAGCAGAGUCGAUUCAACCUUCCCAGUCGGAGGCUGGCAGAGGUUUGAUGCAGAUCCGGGCCUUGCUCUGGGCAGUAGGAGAACAAAACACAACAGUGUCUCAGUCGCGGAAUAGGAUUCACAGCAGAUCCGUAGUAGCAUAUACAGUUCAGUCGGCCCACAACCCAAGAUCGCCCCUGCGGCGUGAAGGCCGUGGGCAAUAUUAUCACCGACUCGACCGCGAAAAUUGCCGUCGAGUGCCUACACCUCCUCUGAGGAGUGCAUCAUAUGUGCCUCGGCAGUACGAUGAUAGGCGCCGUCACAGUGGCGAGUGCAGAGCACCAGUUGACCCAAGAGCGCCAGGCUUCGAUGCAAGAUCCAUCCUCGUUCAAGGUCUAGUCAACCGGAACAGAGUGCAUAGAGAAGACCCUGGCAGAGAUCGUCCGACUGGCAGAAGAGUGCAUGUUUCGGGUCCAGAAUGUUUUAGCAGAGCCAUCAGGGCUGCAGUGAUUCCACCCAACUUCAGGUUGGCGACUGGAGUCAACAAGUUCACUGCAGAGUCCAAGCCUGAAACUUUGCUUGAGGAUUACCGGGUGCCUGUGCAGAUUGGUGGCGGGAAUGAUGAAGUGGCAAUGAAACAUAUUCCUCUGAUGUUAUAAGGGUCGGCCCGAGCGUGGUUGACUCAGUUAGCCCCAGACAGUAUAUACAGUUGGGAAGAUCUAGCUCGAGUGUUCGUCAGAACUUUUGAGGGAACUUGCAAGCGGCCAGCAGGAUUGAUAGAGUUGCAUCAUUGUGUGCAGAAACCGAGUGAGACUCUAAGGGAUUUCAUUCAGAGGUGGACCACUUUGCAUCACACCGUUGAAAAUGUAUCAGAGCAUCAAGCAGUGUGUGCCUUCAAGGAAGGCGUCAAAUACCAAGAGUUGGUCCUGAAGUUUGGUCGGACUGGAGAUAUGACUCUGACUCAGAUGAUGGAAAUAGCCACCCGGUACGCUAACGGAGAAGAAGAGGACCGACUUCAUAGCAGAAAGGGUAAACCAAUCGGCUAAGAGGCCGGUGGGGGUAAUUCUAAUCAGAAACAGAACGUAAGGCCGAGCCUGCAGCACCCGGUGAGAUUGCAGCGGUGACUCAAGGAAAGUUUAAGGGAAAGCCUAAAGGUCCCUGGCCCCCUAAGAAAGUAAAGGAUCAAGCAGGAAAUGAUGUGUUAGAUUUAUCGUGUCACAUCCACACGAAGAAGGAUGAAGAGGGUAAUCUGAUUUACCCUAAGCAUACCACUCAACAAUGUCGACUCCUGAUCCAGCAGUUCUGAGAGAAACAACCCAGUGGGAAGGAUAAAGAGUCAGACAAAGACGAGGACGAAGAGGAAGAUGACGGUUAUCCCAAAGUCAAUUCCACCCUCAUGAUUUUUGCUGAUGUUGAGAGCAAGAGUCGGUUGAAAGUUAUCAACAGAGAAGUGAAUAUGGUCGCUCCGGCGACGACGACCACAUACCUGAAAUGGUCUCAGAUAGCCAUCACAUUCGACCAGUCUAAUCACCCUGCUCGCAUAACCACCCCUGGGAGGCAAGCGUUUGUGGUCGACCCAGUGGUCGAAGGCACUAGACUGACCAAAGUGCUAAUGGAUGGUGGAAGCGGCCUGAACAUCCUUUAUGCUGAAACUUUGAAGGGGAUGGGCAUUCCGAUGUCCAAACUUAGCGAGAGCAAUAUGAGUUUCCAUGGCGUUAUCCCUGGAAAGAAAGCCGAAUCACUCAGCCAGAUCGCCAUUGACGUGGUUUUCGAUGAUUACAAGAAUUACCGUAAGGAAAAAUUGACAUUUGAAGUUGUGGACUUCCAGAGUGCUUAUCAUUCCAUUCUGGGUAGGCCUGCCUAUGCAUGUUUUAUGGCUCGACCAUGUUACGUGUACCUCAAGUUGAAGAUGUCUGGCCCCAGAGGUGUGAUAAUAGUUACUGGCAAUCGGCAGAAGGCGGAGGAGUGCUUCCAGAAGGGUUCCAAAAUUGCUGAUGCUCAAAUGGCAGCAGUUGAAUUUCAAGAAUAUCAGAAGAAUGCAGAUCCUAGUGAUUUGCUCCAAGCUAAGAAGCCUACCCCAGAUCCUGCAUUUCAGUCGUCUGGUGAAACGAAGCCGAUUCAUAUUCACCCAACCGAUCCCAAUGCCGCACCGACUCAUGUAUCAAUGACACUCGACAGCAAAUAGGAAGACGCGCUCAUCCAGUUCCUCCGUGAGAACUAGGACAUCUUUGCAUGGAAACUUUCUGACAUGCCGGGUGUGCCCAGAGAACUGGCUGAGCACCGUUUGCGUGUCGACCCCAUGGUAAAACCCGUCAAAGAGCAUCUUCGGCGGUCCGCCGUGCAGAAGAGGAAAGCAAUUGGCGAGGAAGUGGCUCGGCUCCUAGCAGCAGAGUUCAUCCAUGAGAUCUACCACUCUGAGUGGCUUGCGAAUGUAGUCAUGGUCCCUAAGAAGGACGAUUCACUUCGUAUGUGCAUUGAUUUUAAGCAUAUCAAUCAGGCCUACCCGAAAGAUCAUUUCCCUCUCCCCCGCAUCGAUCAGAUUGUUGACUCGACGGUGGGGUGUGAGCACUUGUCUUUUUUAGAUGCAUAUUCCGGGUAUCAUCAGAUUCGACUGUAUGGUCCUGAUGAAAUAAAAACAGCCUUCAUCACCCCGUUCGGGUGCUUUUGCUAUGUUACCAUGCCAUUUGGUCUUAAAAAUGCUGGUGCCACAUUCAUGAGAAUGAUUCAGAAGUGCUGCUCACUCAAAUCAGUCAGAAUGUGGAAGCAUACAUCGAUGACAUUGUGGUCAAGUCUCGCAAAGGGUUCGACCUACUGACUGAACUCGCAGAAACCUUUGCCAACCUAGGAAGGUAUGAUAUCAAGCUUAAUCCUGCAAAGUGCACAUUCAGAGUUCCAGGUGGAAAGUUACUCGGUUUUCUCGUUUUCGAACGAGGGAUCAACGCCAAUCCAGAAAAAGUUGGUACCAUCCUCCGAAUGAAACGCCCUGUGCGUGUGCAUGACGUUCAGAAGCUUACUGGUUGUUUGGCCGCCUUUAGUCGAUUCAUUUCUCGUCUCGGGGAAAAGGCCUUACCUCUUUACCGAUUGAUGAAGAAAUCUGAUAAGUUCGAGUGGACUGAUGAAGCUGAUGCUACGUUUGCAGAGCUCAAAGCCCUGCUUUCCACCCAGCCGGUGCUUGCUGCACCAAUCAGCAAAGAGCCUUUACUGCUUUAUAUUGCAGCUACUGGACAAGUUGUCAGUAUAGUACUCACGGUCAAGCGAGAAGAAGAAGGAAAGACUUACAAGGUUCAGCGCCCAGUAUAUUAUCUCUUUGAAGUUUUGACUCCAUCCAAGCAACGAUAUCCACAUCAUCAGAAGCUUGUCUAUGGAAUACAUGACCAUGAAGAAGGUUGCACAUUAUUUCUCUGAUCACUCCAUUACAGCCAUUAUAUGAAAUUCUGAACAACAGAGAUGCAACUGGUCGAGUGGCAAAAUGGGCAAUUGAACUCCUUCCAUUGGAUAUCAAGUUUGAGGCGAAGAAAGCUAUUAAGUCCCAAGCAAUCGCAGAUUUUCUUGCCGAGUGGAUUGAGCAGCAACUGCCAACUCAAGUUCACUCGGAGCAUUGGACCAUGUUCUUCGAUGGCUCCAAGAUGAUGAAUGGUUCAGGUGCUGGAGUAGUAUUGGUAUCUCCCCGGGGAGACAAGCUUAGCUAUGUUCUCCAGAUUCAUUUUGAUUCCUCCAAUAACGAAGCUGAAUAUGAAGAGACAAGCUUAGCUAUGUUCUCCAGAUUCAUUUUGAUUCCUCCAAUAACGAAGCUGAAUAUGAAGCACUUUUAUAUGGGUUGCGUAUGGCCAUUUCACUCGGCGUCCGUCGCCGUAUGGUCUACGACGACUCGGAUUUGGUGGUUAAUCAAGUGAUGAAAGAGUGGGAUGUAAGGAGCCCAGCCAUGACUGGUUAUUGCAAUGCAGUAAGAAAGCUGGAAAAGAAGUUUGAAGGGUUGGAGCUUCACCAUAUACCCCGACUGAAAAAUCAAGCUGUAGAUGAAUUGGCAAAGAUAGGUUCUAAGAGAGAGGCCAUUCCCAGCAAUGUGUUUUUGGAGCAUAUUCAUUCACAUUCAGUUCAGGAAGAUCCUUUCACUGAAGAGUCCCCACAGCCUAAGAGCGCCAUAGAUCCGACUGAAGUCAAAAUCCCAGCCGUGGUCGACUUAGUCAUGGAGGUUUUGGUCGUCACUCCCGACUGGACAGUGCCGUACGUUGCAUACAUUCUUAGGAAAGAACUUCCAGAGGAUGAAGAAGAGGCUCGACAGAUCGUUCGAUGAUCUAAAGCCUUUACCAUGGUAAAAGGUUAGUUGUUUAGAGAAAGUGUAACUGGAGUCUGCCAGAAAUGCAUCACGCCAGAAGAAGGUCGAAUGAUCCUCAAUGAUAUUCACUCGGGGACCUGUGGUCACCAUGCGUCCUCUCGGACCAUCGUGGCCAAAGCAUACUGAGCUGGAUUUUACUGGCCACAUGCAAUCGAGAUGGCGAAAGAAAUAGUGGACAAAUGUGAAGGCUGUCAGUUUUACUCCAACAUGUCCCAUAAGCCUGCUCAGCUCUGAAGACUAUUCCACUCGUCUGGCCUUUUGCUGUAUGGGGAUUGGACAUGGUUGGACCUCUGAGGACUGGCAGGAGUGGAUUUACCCAUGUGCUGGUGGCAGUCGACAAGUUUACCAAAUGGAUCAAAGCCAAGCCCAUUAAAAACCUUGAAGCAAGUACAGCUGUAAGUUUCAUCAGAGAAUUGAUAUUCAGAUAUGGUGUUCCACAUAGCAUCAUCACGGAUAACGGGUCGAACUUCGACUCUGACGAUUUUAGGGCCUUUUGUGCUUCCCAAGGCACGAGGGUCAAUUACGCUUCGGUCGCCCACCCUCAGUCGAAUGGGCAGGCUGAAAGAGCAAAUGGAUUGAUUCUCAAAGGACUGAAACCCCGCUUGAUGCGUGACCUCAAGCAUGCAGCAGGGGCUUGGGUCGAUGAACUUCCAUCAGUACUUUGGGGAUUGAGGACAACUCCUAACCGGCCGACUGGACGAACUCCAUUCUUCUUAGUCUACGGGGCUGAAGCCGUACUCCCGAGUGAUCUGCUCCACAAUGUGCCCCGAGUCAAGCUCUUCUCAGAAGAGGAAGCCGAACAGGCUCGACAAGAUGCAGUUGAUCUCCUGGAAGAAGAAAGAGAGAUAGCCUUGAUCCGGUCGACCAUUUAUCAACAAGACCUGCGUCGAUUCCAUGCCAGAAACGUGAGGGGUCGGGCAUUUCAGGAGGGAGACUUGGUUCUUCGAGUGGACCAGCAGAAACCACACAAGCUCGCUCCUGCUUGGGAAGGCCCUUUCGUCGUCACUAAAGUGCUCCACAACGGAGCAUAUCGUCUUUUCAACGUCGAGCACAAUAAAGAUGAGCCACGCGCUUGGAAUGCGGAACUGCUCCGCCCCUUUUACUCUUAAAGCAUUCAGACUGUUGAGAUGUAAUAAGAAGUACCUUUUAGUUUCAUUAUCAAAAGGCAUGAUUUUACAGUCUUCCGAAUGAUUGUUGUUCAUUUUUUACAUGUUCUAAAAUCCCCCAGUGGGUGCCUUAGCCGUGAAUCCGUUUCGCCUAAGUUGAAGAGAAAAUCCUACCGAGUGGUGAGCCAGCCUCUCACUCGGAGGCUUAGUUGUGAAUCCGUUUCACCUAAGUGUUAAAAAAUCCUACCGAGUGGUGAGCCAGCCUCUCACUCGGAGGCUUAGCUGCAGUCCAGUACUCGCCUAAGUGUUAGAAACUCCUAUCGAGUGGUGAGCUAGCCUCUCACUCGGAGGCUUAGCUGCAGUCCAGUACUCGCCUAAGUUUAAAAGGUCCUACCAAACGAUACAGGUCGACCACGACCCCCCUAGGGGCUGCACCGUCAAGAAGGACAAGAUUGUGAGAGCAAUCCUCUCACUCGGGGGCUUAGCUGCAGUCCAGUACUCGCCUAAGUUUGAAAAAUCCUAUUGAGUGGCGAGCAAUCCACUCACUCGGGGGCUUAGCUACAGUCUAGUACUCACCUAAGUAUAAAAAAUCCUACCNNNNNNNNNNNNNNNNNNNNNNNNNNNNNNNNNNNNNNNNNNNNNNNNNNNNNNNNNNNNNNNNNNNNNNNNNNNNNNNNNNNNNNNNNNNNNNNNNNNNNNNNNNNNNNNNNNNNNNNNNNNNNNNNNNNNNNNNNNNNNNNNNNNNNNNNNNNGCUUAGCUGCAGUCCAAUACUCGCCUAAGUAUAAAAAAUCCUACCGAGUGGCGAGCAAUCCUCUCACUCGGGGGCUUAGCUGCAGUCCGGUACUCGCCUAGGUAUAAAAAAAUCAUACCGAGUGGCGAGCUAUCCUCCAACUCGGGGGCUUAGCUGCAGUCCAGUACUCACCUAAGAAUAAAAAAUCCUACCGAGUGGCGAGCAAUCCUCUCACUGAUACGUCUUCAACGUAUCUAUAAUUUUUGAUUGUUCCAUACUAUUAUAUUACCCGUUUUGGAUGUUUAUGGGCUUUAUUUUACACAUUUAUAUCAUUUUUGGGACUAACCUACUAACCGGAGGCCCAGCCCAUAUUGUUGUUUUUUUGCCUAUUUUAGUAUUUCAAAGAAAAGGAAUAUCAAACAGACUCCAAACGGAAUGAAACCUUCGGGAGUGUGAUUUUUGGAACGAACGUGAUCCAGAGAACUUGGAGUGCAAGUCAAGAAGCAGCCGAGGCGGCCACGAGGGUGGAGGGCGUGCCCACCCCUAUAGGGCGCGCUCCCUGUCUCGUGGGCCCCUUGGGCGGCCACUGACAUACUUCCUCCUCCUAUAUAUACCCACGUACCCCGAAAACAUCCAGGGAGCCAACAAAAAACAAUUUCCACCAUCGUAACCUUCUGUAUCCGCGAGAUCCCAUCUUGGAGCCUUCGUCGGCGCUCCGUCGGAGGGGGAAUCGACCAUGGAGGGCUUCUACAUCAACACCAUAGCCCCUCCGAUGAGUUGUGAGUAGUUUACCACAGACCUUCGGGGCCAUAGUUAUUAGCUAGAUGGCUUCUUCUCUCUUUUUGGAUCUCAAUACCAUGUUCUCCCCCUCUCUUGUGGAGAUCUAUUUCAUGUAACUCUUUUUGCGGUGUUUGUCGAGAUCCGAUGAAUUGUGGGUUUAUGAUCAAGUUUAUCUAUGAGGAAUAUUUGAAUCUCCUCUGAAUUCUUUUAUGUAUGAAUGAGUUAUCUUUGCAAGUCUCUUCGAAUUAUCAGUUUGGUUUGGCCCACUAGAUUGAUCUUUCUUGCAAUGGGAGAAGUGCUUAGCUUUGGGUUCAAUCUUGCGGUGUCCUUACCCAGUGACAAUAGGGGUUGCAAGGCACGUAUUGUAUUGUUGCCAUGGAGGAUAAAAAGAUGGGGUUUAUAUCAUAUUGCAUGAGUUUAUCCCUCUACAUCAUGUCAUCUUUCUUAAUGUGUUACUCUGUUCUUAUGAACUUAAUACUAGAUGCAUGCUGGAUAGCGAUCGAUGUGUGGAGUAAUAGUAGUAGAUGCAGGCAGGAGUCGGUCUACUUGUCGCGGACGUGAUGCCUAUAUACAUGAUCAUGCCUAGAUAAUCUCAUAAUUAUUUGCUUUUCCAUCAAUUGUUCGACAGUAAUUUGUUCACCCAUCGUAAUACUUAUGCUAUCUUGAGAGAAGCCACUAGUGAAACCUAUGGCCCCUGGGUCUAUCUCUUAUCAUAUUAGCUUUCAAUCUACUUUUAUUUGCACCUUUACUUUUCCAAUCUAUAUUUUAAAAUACCAAAAAUAUAUUUAUCUUAUCAUACUAUCUCUAUCAGAUCUCACUUUCGCAAGUGGCCGUGAAGGGAUUGACAACCCCUUUAUUGCGUUGGUUGCGAGUUCUUUGUUUGUUUGUGUAGGUGCAUGGGACUUUUGAGGAGCCUCCUACUGGAUUGAUACCUUGGUUCUCAAAAACUAAGGGAAAUACUUACACUACUAUUGCUGCAUCACCCUUUCCUCUUCAAGGAAAACCAACGCAAGCUCAAGACAUAGCACUCACUCGGGAGCUUAGCUGCAGUCCAGUACUCGCCUAAGUAUAAAAAAUCCUACCGAGUGGCGAGCAAUCCUCUCACACGGGGGCUUAGCUGCAGUCCGGUACUCGCCUAAGUAUAAAAAAUCCUACCGAGUGGCGAGCAAUCCUCUCACUCGGGGGCUUAGCUGCAUUCCAGUACUCGCCUAAGUUCGAGAAAUCCGACCGAAUGAUACGGGUCGACCACGACCCCUCCCCCCAGGGCUGCACCGUCAAAAAAAGGACGAGAUUGUGCGUGCUAUCAAAGGCUCAUACGACAGCCGACGCCAAGGCGAGCCGCUUUCAAGAACGUUAAGGCCAUUGCUGAAUGCCUCACUGAUGAGCUGAUCAAUGCUACCAAGACGAGCUGCUUUCAUGAGCUGAUCAAUCCAGCCGAGUGGUGCGGGUCGACCACGACCCCCCCCUCCGAGGUUGCACUGUCAAGAAGAAGGACGAGAUUGUGCGCACUGUCAAAGGCUCAUCCAACGGAUGGCGCCAAGGCAAACUGCUGUCAGGAACGUCAAGACCAUUGCUGAGUGCCUUGCUGAUGAGCUGAUCAAUGCUGCUCAAGGUUCGUCCAACAGGUCGACUGCGGAUUCUUCCUCAGAAGCUGCAUCGGAAGUACAAAAACCAAUCUGAGAGAAGAACAAAUUUCACUCGAAGAUAAACACAACAUAUUCAAAGAUAAGUCCAAAGGUUUCUAACCGCAGAUUAAAGUACUCGGGCGUCAGGCCCAAAGGAGUUUCCAUGAUUACAAAAUCACUUGGCAUUCCGAGGCAAAUGAGGACGAAGCAUAAUGUUUUUUCGGUCACUCGGCGGGAGAAGGUCUGGCUGGAUCGCAGAAGCUGUCAAGGUCGAUGCUUUCAGCAAUACGAGUGGCUGCCUCAAGGAAGGUGUCCAUGAAGGACUGGAAUGAGUGCUUCUUAGUAUUCACAACCUUGAGGGCCACCAACUUGUCUUCUCUAGCCUCCUUGCAGUGCACUCGAACCAAUGACAGGGCGAUGUCAGCGCCACAGUGAGCAGAUGACUUCUUCCGCUCUUGCACUCGGCCAGGAAUCUGAUUGAGUCGAGUCAUCAGCGACUCGAGGUCUUGAGAAAGUUCCGCCUAAGGCCAGAGUUCGGCGUCCACUUGGGUCAUCGCAGCCUUCAGUCGAGCCAGAUAGGCAACAUCACCGUCCAAGCGUGAUUCCAAUCACAGCAAGUUCAUCGGAACAUCAUCUUUCACAGGACAAUUGAUGGGGUCGAGACCUGUCUCGACCCGCCCAGUUUCAGCUUCAAAAUCCUGGCAAAGUUCUGUUCCAUCUUGAAAAAUAAUGAGUCGACAAUAUUACAACAUACUUCGAUCGACGACAAUUAACCAGUCGAGUGAUUGUACCUUCAAGCUUCAGAACUAGCUUCGCGGCAAGUUGUCCCAGAUAGGACUCUGGCUUGCCUGUCUUGGCUCUGAGGCCUCCAACUUCAGUGGUCAGGUUCUCCUUGUCCUUCUUCAGUUGCUCGACUUCUCGAUUGGCUUCCGAGAUGGCAAUCUUCAACUUCGCGUUCUCCUCUUCCAACUUGCCGACUGAAGCCAGCUUCUGGUCCGCAAGCGUCGUCUUCUCAGUUGCUUCCUUCUGAGCAGCAGCAAGGUCUUGGUCCUUCUUCUCCAAAGCUUCCUUCAUUCUAUCUAAAGAAACAACACUCUUCAGACGAGUAUGAAGUUGACGGUUUUCACACUCACAUCUGCUUGUGUGAAGUCACUCGGUUCAAAGAGACUGAAAGAAAAAGUAGUAAAAGACGCGAGCUACUAAGUAGGCAAGAGUCGAAUAGUUACCUCCCAUGAUGGCCGUCUCUUGUUGACACUACAAAAAAAUACACUUCUGUGCUGAUACGUGUUUGUCACAGUAGGUCACAUUUUCUUUCAUGCAUGUACAUCCAUGACGAUUUUAUGACAGAAUCAAGAUAGUCAUACCUGUGCCAUCGUAGAAGUGUUCCAUGACAUUACCAAAAUUAUCAUCACGGAAGUGUCCACUUCCAUGACGAUAAAUCACGCGUCACAGAAGUGCUUUCGUCAAGGGUGACUGACACGUGGCAUCCACCGUAACGGAACGCCGUUAAGCUAUCGGGUCGGGUUUUGGAUCCGAUAACCCGUUAACAGCCCCGACCAAUGGGGAUUUUCCACGUGUAAAAUCAUCAUUGGCUGGAGGAAACACGUGUCGGCUCAUCGUUGGGACAGAUGUCAUCCACUCAUUGGACAGAGGCGCCUAUGAUACGUCGACACGUGGCAUGGCCCGACAGAGGCCCAUUCCUGUGAAAAGGACGGCCCGUUUGACUUGGUCAAAAGAUGGCGGGCCGGCCCAUGUAAAGCCUGUUCACGGCAUGUUCGCAUAUAGCCCAUUUACAGCCCGCUAACCCAAGGCCCGUUAUGCCCUAUCCAAAUUAGGCCCAGUAGCGUCAUCUGGGCCAUCCAAUAUGAUUCCAGCCCAUUUUCACUUCUGGCCCAUGACGUCUUUCGUCCCAUAUGAGGCCCUAUGUAACUCUUGGCAUAUUAACAGCCCAUGGUGAAACUGGCCCAUAAUGAAUAGUGUAUCACUUUACACCCAUUAACGGCCCGUGGUGAAACUGGCCCGUAAUGAAUAGUGUAUCACUUUAUACCCAUUAACGGCCCGUUAUUCCGUUGGGCCGUUUCCAGCCCAUGUUAUCUUUCGGCCUUCUCAGAGCCCAUUUAUUCUUGGGCUCAUUUCCAGCAUUCGUUUACUUACGGCCCGUUACUGUCAUUUUCUGCUUGUGGGCCAAAUUCAGCCCGUGGUUACAGUCGGCCCGCUUGUGGUCCGUUAAUACGUUGGGCCGUUUUCAUAGUGUCAUCAAAUAUGGCCUAUUAACGAUGGCCCGUUAUGGUCGGCCCAUGAACGGACGAUUCCAACUCUAGCCCGUUUACGGCCAUAUUGCGGCCUGUUAUUGGCCCAUGUUUGGCCAAUCGAUCAUACUGCCCGUAUAUGGCCCAUCGAUAAUACAGCCCGUAGAAGUCCCAUUGUUUCUACGGCCCGUAGAAGGACCAUUGUUUCUACGGCCCGUAGAAGGCCCACUGUUUCUACGGCUCGUAGAAGGCCCACUGUUUCUACAGCCCGUAGGAGGCCCAGUGUCACUACAGUAAAUAUUAGCCCAUGGUUUUUGUGGCCUAGUUUUAAAAAAUAGGUUAUUGCAGCCACUAGCAAACCGUGAAAAAAGACUGCUAUGACUACACGCAAACAAAUAAACAAGACAACAAGGAAAUAAAUAGGCAAGCAACUUACGCUAGGCUAUCACGGCUAUCACACAUAUUACAUCCACUGGGCAUCAAAGUUCACCGCCAGUGCAAAUAAACGCGCCGACAAAAGAAUAUACAAAACUGAGAGCACUUCAGAAGGCACUAGGCCUGGCCAGGUCGGGCCCCCAAACAGCUGAAGAAGCUGAGUAGACCUCAGUUGUGUCAACGAUAGAUGCAUCAACACUAGAUUUAAGGCAUGAUGGUGCGCACGGCAGUCCUCUGACAUCUUCAUUGCAUCUGUGACUUCAAGUCGGAGCUGAGCUGAAGCAAGCCUUUCCGCUUUAAGUUGAGACUGAAGAAGUCGAACUGAUUUGAGGCAGCGACUGCAUAGAGGUUGUCUCACACCUGCUGGUGAGUAGCUUCAACUCACUGUCUUCAUCAAGACAGGACCUUGGGGUCAUCUCGCUGUCCUCAAGAUGGUUUGGCUCACUAUCUUCCCAAAAGUUCUGCCUGGCGUAAGAGAUAUGACUCUGAAAGAGAAACAAGAAGACAUGUAACAGGUUUCACAAUUAUAUAAGAAAAUAAAUGGAUCUAUUCUGCAUAAGUAACAUGUUUUUACAACUACAAUUUGAAACUGGUAGUUGUUGCAAACAUCCAAUCAGAUGUAAACAGCAAAGCAAACAGCAGUGGAGGAAAUGAUGCCUAUCCAAAUCUAUACUAGAACAAAGUUUGAAGGCUUGAGAAGGAUGAACUUACAUUGCAUGUUAACACGGGCUGGACAAAGCCCCUCCAUGUUGAUGGAAGGAUAAUUCAAUAAAUUCCCCAAAGAAAAUUCUUUAUAAGUGUUGCCAUUAUUCUACAUUUUGCAAAUAGUAAAUAUAGAUCACAUAAUAUUGGAAGAAACAGAGGAUAAUGAAGCUCAGGUGCAGACUGAUGAUACAUAAUCAAAUAGCAAUUAAUUAAGUACAAUGUUACAAGGCAAAAGGGAGAGAGGUACUGACAAGAGCAAUGCAGAGCCCAUUAUUGUUUUGAGAUCAUAUGAUCCUUUGAGCAAGGAGAUUCAUCUGAAAUUAGUUUUCAUACAAGAGAGAAGGUAAGGCACAAGCAGAAAGUUAGGAGUUCAAAUUUUGAAUUGAUAUCAUAGACAGUACCUGACGCUGGGCUCCCAGCAGUUCUAAUAGGGGUUUGGCCACUGGAGUAGGGGUAAAGUGUGGUACAGUUGGGCCUGUGUUUUCUGUGGCUGCUGAUCUAUCUGAUUUAACAGGUAUCACUACCUUUUCCAAAUACCUAGUUUGUACUCGUUGAGGAUCUGCACUCACCCUCUUACUUUUGGAUAUCUAUUACGAAAGAACAACAUUUGACUGAAAAAACAUAGUGUGACGACACAUGGAAAAGGUACAGAAAAUGGAUAGGUAUGGCAUAUACUCAUAUAUGAUGCUUAAACUAAGCAGAUGGUGUAACAAAGUAGAAGUAAUGCAAGUGGUCAGAUGCAAAAUAUGUGCUACCAAUACAACUUUGCAAAGUUAGAGCAAGCACCUUGAUGGGUGAAUAAGAUAGGCCAUCCUCCACCAUGCCAUGUUUGUUAGCCAGUGGAUUGUUCCGCAAUAUUCCUCUCAUGCGCCCAUUCUCAUAUUCAUUUUGAUAAUGUUCAAUAUCUAACAUGCAUGAAAACAUAAAAACAAGCAGUGGCGGAGCCACGUUGAACCAUUGGGUUCAGAUGAACCCAAUGAAAUUUUCUACCUACGUGCAUGUCAUGUACACAUAUUAGACCUGACACCAAUCAAAAAAUUAAGCCUGACCCCAUCAACCAGCUAAACGCCACAAGAUUAGACAAAUAAAAAUGCCCAAAAGCCCAGGCAUCUUUGUUACACGAUAUCUCAAAAAAGAAAAAGAUCAAUCAAUACCUGUACAAGGAAUAAACGGACGGCAGCCGCACACCUCGUCACUUUCCAACUUGCCUCGCCUCUCUCUCCCGUCUCACCCAGAUUUCGUUAGGCCGUCACUUCGGUCCUCACCUGGACGCCCACGCCUGACGGCAGAUAGCGCAGAAGCGCUCAACUGCAGUCUAAUUCGAGGCAGUAAGAUCACCUCCACAUCUCUUCCCUCUGAACAUUCUACCCAAUCUAAAUCUAAUAGCCUAGUACGGGAACCUUUUGCCCUAAUUUUCUAAUUCUUAUGUUCGUGGACUUUGAUUGAUGUAGGCUAUGGAAAGAUAUUUUUCAAAGAAGAGAAGUCGAUCACCUGAUCUCGAUAAUGAUGUGGGGGCAUCGAGGUUACCCAUUAGAUGUAAGAAAAGUGCAUGGAAUGUCGCAAACAGUAGUCUCCCAAAGACUUCUAUCCACACAGAGAUUAAUUAGAUCAGUUGCCCUACAAUCCGGCUGAUCGAAAGAGAAUUUGGGAGUACACAAGAAAUCCUAAGAAGCAAGAUGAGAUUAGGUGCUGAUAUUUAAGGCGGGGACCUUACAGGCCGCCGUCUACUUUUGUUUAUCCACACAGGGACAUUGGAGACACUCCACGGAGAUUUAAUCCAGACUGGUUUAAAGAUUAUGGUUGUUUUGUUGCUAUCUUUUCAGAGAUAAUAAUGAGGAACAAGCCGGGAGUGAUGCAUUUGGAAUUAAGGGUUGGAACAAGAAAAGUAGGCUGGAUACCCAUGAGGGUAAAGGUAAUGUUAAUAGCUUUCAUAAUGUAGCAGUAAAACAAUGUGAUGCUUUGAUGAAUCAAGAUCUAUCAAUUCAGGCUGCUCUCGAUAAGCAAACUGAUCUUACAAAAAAGCAAAAUUGAAUUCAGCUUAAUGCUUCAAUUGAUUCAGUUAGAUACUUGUUGCAUCAAGGCUUAGCUUUCCGAGGACAUGAUGAAACAGAAGAGUAAAAAAACGGGAACUUUCAACAGUUGGUAAAGACUUUGGCAAAUCAAAAUGAUGAUAUACGGAAGGUAGUUCUUGAGAAUGCUCCAAAAAUUGCAAGUGGGUAUGUGGAGAUAUUCAGAAGGAAAUUGCCAACUAUUUUGCCAAGGUAACGUCCUGGUUAAAUUAUAUUUCCUACUAUUUUUGUUUUCUGAAAAGUUACACUAAUCUCUAAUGAUGCCCUUAUUGUUAUUUCUUCCAUGUUUUCCGAAAGAUGAGAAGUUGGAUCUGAAAUAUGAAGUUUAUUUUGGUACUACUUUAUCUAUAAUUUCAUCCGAUCGGUAUGUUAUGCACUCUUAAUUUUUUUCAAAGUAACAAAUAUGUGUGAUAAGUGAUAUCAUAUUCAUAUUCAUAUUCAUUAUGCUGAUUUUGACUGAUAUAAUCUCGUUGCAAUAUGUCACGAAGUGAGACUUGGUUCACUAAAAAAAUCACAACUAGUUAGUGAAUGAACCCAUUGACGAAAAUUUCUGGCUCCGCCCCUGAAAACAAGUGAGAUUUCUUUGUAAUGCAGAAGUGAUUCUAAUCCAAUACUGCCUCCCUGUAAACCCCUUUGUGCUAUCUUUGCAAUUCUUUUAAAAGAUGCCAUGCAUGCUGUAAUUUGUUGUGUGCAUUAAUAUAAUGUGGCCUACUACUCAAAAUAUGAGAGCUCCAGAAGUGAUGACACUUCACAGAUGACAACUUCAACAUAUAGUAAAGAAGAACAAGUCGACCUGACCUGACAGAUUCAAGAUAUACUAAGGGAGAACAACUCGAGCUGACCAGUCGACCGCAAGAGAAGAGUAUCAUCUUAAGGAAGAGCAGAAGAGCAAGCAGAUUGAAGAUAUUACAAGUCUUUCAAUACAAUGCCGGUUGGCCACCCAUGAUGAACCAGAGCGCAAAGAGAAAUACUAUUCUUUUCGGUCUCUCCAUAUGUGGCUCACAUGCAUUUCGAAACUAAAGUAGGAACAUUUAGCUAACCAAUUAAACAUCUCUCGGUUUUACUAAUAUCAGCAAUAAUAUCAGAUAUGAAUUUGUACAACUAAGCUUGUUUAGCUCGUUGGGUGGAGCAGUGCUACUACAACAUGAACCACGUAGGCUGAUUGUGGUCAUCAUAAAAUGGGGAAAACAUAAGCAUGAUGAGUACAGUGUUGACUGUGGCAGUGGGAUGGCAGAUCUGAAGCUACAAACCGCGCAAAGGGUAGUUAGCAACCGAUGUUUGCUUUGAAAUAACAACUAAGAUUUGGUAUGGACAAGAAAGUACGGUCAAUAAGUGACAAACAAAUGCAAUUAUGCUGUCUCUCUAUAUGUGGCGACAUGCAUUUGGAAACUCAAGUGGGACCUUUAGCUAACCAAUUAAAUGUGUUGGUUAACUAAUAUCAGUAUCAUAUCACAAUCAUAUUUGAACAACUAAGCUUUCGAAUUCUGAGUGUUGUGUUGUUUAGCUUGAAGGGUGGAGUAAUGCUAGUACGCAAAAAGUACCUACGCAGAUCAUAGUAUAGUAGAUAAAAGGGGAAAACCCUAAGCAUCAAGAGAAAAACCAGGAAAGUGGAACUAGCUGGACCAGUGGGUGGCGCACAUGCUUUUCGAAAUGAGUAUAGGAACAUUAGGUGACCAAUUAAACAUUCUCUGUUUUAGUGAUAUGAGCAUCAUAUCAGAUUCGUAUUUCAACACGUAAGCUUUGGGUUGAGGUCUUGAGGAGUAGUGCUAGCACGACACGAAGCACCUACGAUGAUGGUAGUGAAUAUAAAGGGGGGAAACCAUAAGCUUUACGAGUAUAGUGGCCAUGCCAUGGCGGAUCUGAAGGUGCAAACCGGACAAAGCUACUUCGCAACCAAUAUUUGCUUUCAAUACGGACAAGAAAAGUAAAGUAAACAAAUUAUGAUGUAUUUUCCGGGUGAGAUCAAUAACUUAAGCACAUAUGGAAGAGUACCACCUCUCUUGCGACGCCGUGUAGGCCUAUGCUGAUACGUUGAGGGUUCUAUGGGUGCGAUGGCUGUUGAUGCCGGGGAAGAAGACUUUAGAUGGCAAACGGCCGGGUCGGGGGAUAUAUCCUAUUGCCGUGGACGAGGCGGUCGUAGGAGCGGCAACGACAAGGUGGACGACGGCACCGAUGAAGCGAGAGGAGGCAAUGAAAGGAUCCUGGUCCAGCGCUGUGGAUGAGAGACGUCCAUCUCUUGCAGUGGACGACGGGGUAGGGGUAGUGGCUCCGGAAAGGUGGAGGAUGGGGUGGCAGACGAAGGAGGCUGGCCGCAAUGCGGAGGUUGUCGUGUCGCCGAUGGUGUAUGAAUGGGGAAAUGGAGGGGAGGGGGGGAUCUCAACUUUGGGACGCGCUUCUCUGAAAUGGGGAAAGUUACGAACUUAUCCCCCGUUUAAAAUUUCGGACAUUGCGUCGGUUGGGGAUAGGACGGUAAUCUCGCAUCUCCAAAUAUUUGUCGGUAACUAUUUCGGGCAAGGAGAGGAUGUUUUGCCGCCCAUGGUUGGUGCCCAUGGUGUAUGAACGGGGCUGACAGGUAGGGCGGUUGUGUCACGUCUGAUGGAAGUUACACAUCUGCCCCUAUUUAAAAUAUUAGCCUACAUCAAUUUCGGACGAGGAGAGUUUGUUUUGUCGUCCACCGUGUAUGAAUGGGGAAAUGGAGGAAGAGACACAUGUCUUUCGGACGAGCUUGAAUCAAAUGUGUUUUGCCGCCCACGUUUGGCGCCCAUCGUGUCUAAAUGGGCUCAGAGGCCAUCGUGUCACGUCUGAUUAAUGUUACUAGUCUACCCCUAUCGACAGCAGUGUAAAUCCGGUCGAUAAGGAUGUCAAGUGUUAGGGGUGCACAGUAAUUUCCAUCUCACAAAUACUUGCUUCGGGUAGCCCACAAAUUAUAGUGGGUGUUUAGCCGCUUCGUUCAAAACUUGGGAGAAUUAACAUUCACAUUUGCCCUGGGCCCUGGCAAACUAAAUUCAAAUCCAAUUUGUAUUCGAUUGCGAAUAUCCAUAGAUAAUUAUACAUUUUGUUAUUUAUUUAUUUAAAACCACAACAAAGAUUUAUUCCACCUUUAUAUAUGAUUAUGAUUUAGAAAUGCAUGAUCUUCGAAUUCAGUAGGUUGGGUACACUCUGAGUCAAACAGUUAUUUCAUCCAAUACAACAUGCUCACAAAAAAAACAGUUCACCUUAUGUCAAUCAUACAAGUAUUGAGGAUUACCUCGCCUAAAAAAUCCAGAUCAUUACAACACAUGGACAACAUAGGGGGUCUUGUAACAUAAUCCAUUCAGAGACAUGACACAACAUGCAAGUACAAUGAUCUAAUGACAAUUUCAACUGGUAUCUAAAGAAGAACCAGGAUUACCUUGGGCUUCAGAUAGCAGAAACAGCAGGACCUCCUCCGUCUUCAAAUGCAACAUUCUUACUUCCUCCAAUUCUUGGGUUGCUUGCAUAAUGCGUGCUACUAAUUCCGUAAUUUCUAGCCUCAAGAUAAAGAUUACCUCAUUCAUGGCAGCCACACCAUCUCUUUCUGCCUCUAGUAGAGCCUCAAGCACUAUAAUAUAUGUGCUCAGACUGCUCUCCAGCGGUGUUGCCUCUAAACUGCUACCAUCUGGUAACAUGGAUGGCGCAUUGCUUCCACAAAUAGAUUCUGGGGUUGUACAUUGUGUCCUAGUGUGAACAACAUCCUGAAAGGUUUCCGCUGGACAUAAGUAAGAGAUAGUUAUCGAAUGAUCCAGGCAGUAAGCUUACAUGGUAAACGACAGGCGAAUUAUUGCCGAACAUGGCAAACUAUAUUUAAAUGGUUCGAAGCACCAUCAGCCGAAAAGAAAUUAAAAUGGUAAGAUGAAACUAGGGAUGUAAGUGGCAAAUAAACGACAUCCACCAGUCCCAUCUAGUUAGUUUUUGCUACCUCCCUAGUUCAUUAUCCUCAAAAAACAAAAACUCUUUUGAACUAUCAUACCACUAGUGGACUUUAAUCAGGAUUAAACGGGACCCAGUUGACAUCCCUAGUUGAAGGGAGUGUACCACCGCUAUAUUUAAGUUGCCAAGGCAUCUUAGCAGUUGAAAUAAUCUAAGAAAGCACUUAACAGUGUGGCCUCAUAUAAACUACGAAGACAGUCUUGUGAUGAAGUUGAGAGGAAAAGUUAAGGACUCAAAUGAAAUAGGCAUGCAUUUCUUUACGAUAGUACAUCAGGCACUGCUGACAUAUUGGCCAACUCAGGUAUAGCGUAACAACAAGCAUUUGAAUCAAGCAAUACAACAAAGCAGACAACUGAACUAUUUGUAAUUCGCUAGGAUUACAGGUUGAGGGCACAAGCCAAGAAAGCAGCCCACUCGCAUUACAUUUCACAUGUACUAAAACACACUGGAUUACCAUAUGUUUCUGUGAAGCCUCGCUGCUGUUGCAAUGUUCUUUGAAGAUAUCGUCAGCAUCCCGUGGUUGCAAAUCUAGUUGUUGUAGUUUAUUCCGCACCCUCUAUUUAGGUAAAAUUAAUUUUAAUCGCAUGCACUGGUCCGAAUUUAUCAUCAACGGUUCAUCUAAACUAAUGAAAGAAGGGUGUGUGCAUACACGACAAUAUAUCUGCUUCCCUCUAUUUUUAUGCUUGUUCGAGGUGCCAGCCCCAAAAGAACAAAUAUUUUGCUUGAUGGGGUUGGCAGCUCCAUAAUUAAUAGAAGCAUCAAAUUAGUCAUGCAACUUGGGAAGAUCAAGAACACACAAACAAGUAAUGAAUAGAGGCUCGGAGCAGUGAUGUAAUAGCUAGCAUCAGAAAAUGUAGGGUAAAACAAACAAAAAGCAGCGGAACCACAUGCUAGUUUGCUGAUGUGUAAUUAAGCAUAGAGAACAUUAAGCAGUCUGAUGGAACCAACAGGUGGCAUCAGAACAAAACUAAAGCAUAUUAACUAUAUGUGCACUGGUAUGUAAUUUAGCACAUGUAACAUGUUCACUGCCAGAAGUAUGGCCCUACAGGUGCAAGCAAAAUAACGCGUCUCAUGAAAAACUGAAUGAUGCCCUGAAGAAAUUCAAAGGUGCGGUGCUUAUGCUAGGAAAGUGAACAUAGGCGCCGGCCGUUGGAUAAUAGUACCUGAUUCUCGGUGGCGUAUGGGUAUCGUUGUCAUACUUGAUAGCUAAGGAUCGUCGAUGGUGCUCGUGUUGCGGUUGAGUUUGGGCCGGCUGUCACCGUCGCUGAAGCGGCUCCGGUGCUACGGUUGUGGCGCCUGUCGACAUACAAGAAAGCUCAUCUGUGGUAAGUGAACAGUUGCACGAUAAAGAGAAAAAACGAAGGAAUACAAAUCGAAAUAACCUGAUGAGGCUGUGGCGUCGGUAAAGCAGGGCCGGUGGAGUUGAAUAUGGCGUUCGUGGAGCGGGUCCGGUGCAGUGGACGAAGGCUUCGGCGGGCGCGUUGUACAGUGCUUUCGGUGAGACGGAUCUGUUACGGUGGACGAGGGCUUGUAUGAAGGGCCAGUGAAGGGGCGGACGAGGGAGUUAGUGAAGGGCCUAUGCUGUGGUGGACGAGGGAACCGGUUAAGCAGAUCUGGUGCGGUGGACCAUGAUGGCGGUCAAGGAGAUCUGGAGCGGUGGACAAGCCAGUCGCUGAAGCGGCUCCGGUGAAGUGGUGAGUUGGCAGUUGGGGGUUCCAAGGUGCGGAAGGAAGAUCCGGUGGGGUGUGAGGUCCACCGCUGCGGCGGAGGACUAGAUUCAGCAGCUUGCCAUGGUUGGGGGGGAGUCGGGGAGGGGAAGGGGAUGAGCUAUGGGGAAGAAUGUUGGGGGCAAAGAGGGGAAAACAAUGGAGUUACGAAAGUAGCCCUUUUCCAUUCAGGUGGCAGGGGUAAAAUAGGAAUAUCACAGGGCUAAACUUUCGGGCGCGUGAUAUUUCGAUGUGAGCGGGGAGUUUGAAAGCUUUUGGCGCCUAAAAUUAUAAGUAUUCUGCUCUCGUACGGCCGACUAUGAUAUCAUGGCCGACAAUUUGCUUGUUUUGCAAGCAAAAAAAAUGUGCAAGUUUUGAAAAUCAAUGUCUCCAACUCGAAACUUAGAUUGUCCAUUCAAUUCAAAUAUGGAUCAUUGAGCUACUACAAGAAAAUACCAUCAUACGGUCCAAUUCGAAUGAAAUUCCAAAUGUGUUUAUCCUAAAUAUGAUGACAAAAGCAAAAAUGUGUAUGUGUAUGAAUAAAGUGGAUGACUAUAAAGUUUGAACAUGCCCGUAUGUGUAUAUCUCUAGGUUUGAUAUAUGAAUUUGAAAUCAUGAAAUCCCGAUUUAAAAAAUGUACCUCUGUUUAAAUGAAUUACAAAAGCUAAUGAUGGAGUCGAAUUCCAAAAUUCCAAUCUUAGGUUUGUAAUUCUGAUACAUCAAGGUAUAUCACGCAUGUUUAAAAGUAUUGUUAUCUCAUAGUACAAACUAUGAAACAAAUUGAUCAACCAUGAGUGCACAAUAUCUCAAUUACGCUAAAGUCCCUCAAAUAUAGACACCUCACUCUUUAUCUGAAGUCAAGCCCCCCCCCACCACACACACACACACACACACACACACACACACAUAGAGAAGUCGUUCUCUCCCCCAAACACCAACAGCAUUAACACCCCUCUCUCUUGUAAAGUCCGGACCCCAACAUAGGUCUCUAUCACUUUGUCUCUCAGGCAUGCACACAUCUCUUCCCUCACUCUCUAGGUCUCCCGCCAUCUCUCUUACCCAAGCACACGCACUAUGUAGAGUGUAUAUUUCCCAUACACAGGAAACGUCGCCCCCAAACGUCUAUAUCCCUAGUUAUGUGGUUCUCGCGCACUCACCUCACACACCACCCCCACUGCAAACAAGCACGCUUUGUCUCCUUGUGCACUACUCUCCUCUUUCUAUCUCUCCCACAUGCGGAUCCGCCCCAGCUCCUUCCUGUAUACAUAUAUGUCGUGACUCUUUGCAUAGCUCCCUAAUGUAUAAUCGUUCUCGAUUUCGCACAUUGUUCUUUACACCAUCUAUUCUAGAUCUCUCAUGAAGUCCCUAUCACACACACGAUGACUCGCUUCCCUUGCUUCUCCGUUCAUAGGCCAAUUUUGGACAACAUCAACAUUGUCUCCCUAUCUAUACGCCAUUUAUGGACACAAAUGACCCCUCUCGCCCCCUCUCUUCCUCUCUAUCUCUCUCCGUCGCUAUCUCUCUCUUUCUCUCGCUCUCACACCCCUCUCCCACGCACACACACUCGAUGUCUCUUCCAAAUAGUCUGCUCCCCCCGCCUGCACCCGUGUUAUCCCGCUACUACACAUGUCACACCAUUCCCCCUUCCCUUAUACUAGGUUUACAUCAUCAGUGGUCUCUCUACUCCACAUACACUCUCUCCCUCUCACACACAAACGCGUGCACAAACACACACAGACAUGCACAAACACCCAUUUAUCUGGAUCCUCAUCUCUCCCCAUGUCUGCAUGUGUAUCUCACACACUCACUCUCUAAUUAUGUAUAUGUGUCUCCACGUUACACAACACAAAGUCCCAUGUACAUGUCUCUCUCUAUCCUCCACACACAUAGACACAAAGAAUCUAUUAUCAUUGCCUCAGUCUCUAACAUAUCACACACGCACACUGUCUCUCUCUCUCUCUCUCUCGCAAACAUGCUCAACAAGGGUUUCCUCGUGAAUAACUUACCAUCUAUUCAUCAACAGUCGUGGCAGUACGGCGAACAUGAGACGUGAAAAAGAAUAAAUCUACACAUGCUUAGACCACCUAGUAUGACUACUAGGACUAGAGCAAGCCAAAAAAAGCGCUGUCGUCACCCCCUCCUUGUCAGCGACGGGAAAAUCUUUGUUUUACACAGUCGAGAAGUCAUUGUGCUAAGGCCCCACAUGCCGAGGCGUUGAAUAGAAUGUAGAUGCUAGUUUACGGAAGCAAGUAUCGAUAAUACGUUUGUAUCUCCAUACUUAUAUUUCUUCUCUUAUAAAAAAUCGAGUUGGUGAUGAUGGUACGUGUGCCAUUUUGCAAUAUAGACCGUCCGAUCUAUAUCUGACGGAUGGAAAUUAAACUAAAAGAUACCCGCACCCCUCUCCACAUUUGCAGACAAGGCCUUCCCUCGUCCAUCCUUAUCUCCAACAAACCUCAUUAUUGAGUAAUUAAGAAAGGAAGCCUCUGGAACAAAUUGACCUGGUGGCCGCUGCCAGCGUCGUCAAUCCCCAUGCCUCCGCUCAGUCCGACCACCAACCACCACCACACCCCACUCCUCUUCACCUUAUCUCAUAUUUCUCGAGAUAUCAUUAGUUUUUACACAUGGGAUUACUUCCGCAAGGGUCAAUCACACCAAGUGUUUUAUAAAAAAAUGCAUCUUGAUGUUCUGUGCAAUGCACGGAUCUUGCUAGUACUCCUAAACAAGACUAAGUUGGUGAUGCUGGUGUGUCUGCCAUCCGUCGUUUCUGACCAUUAGAUCUACAUCUAACGAUUGUGAGGUAAGUUGUUGCCUUUUUUCACCAACAUCCCACUUGUCUACCAAUUUGCAAAAAAACCCAUAAUUAGUAUCUUAAAACCAACCACAUCCCUCCCUGACCUCACCAAAACAACCCAAGGAAUAUAUUCUAAUUGAAACAUAAUAUAUCUCUAGUGACAUAUGUAUAUCAAAAUUAGAGUGUUUUGUACCAAGUUUGUGAAUAAGUAUUAUUCUAAUUAUGAUUCGUUGCAACGGACAUGAACAUUACUAGUAUUUCCAACCAUGCAUUUUUUCCUAGUAUUCCACAGUUUUGAGUUUUCCAUGAAGAUAUUAGUAACUCAUGGUUGAUAUUUACUUUCAAUCAUGUACACAUAUGCGCUAUGUAACUAGCCUUGCUUAUUGGCUUCCAAAGCUUAACUUUCACUCCUACUUACAAUAUGUAGAGUAUUUAACAAAAAACUACCACUUUCAACCAGCCCUAGGAAGAAUCUAUUGUACAAAAAAUAGCAAAAACAUACCCAAAAUUUCUUAAUCCACGCUAAAAACUACUACCUAGUACUCCUACCAAUUAGGUUCGUUUAAACCCAUUUAUGACAGGGUUGGCCCACACGUCCAUGCUGACGAGGCAGCUUAAACCAACACAUUUUGUUUGACCAUUGACACAAGGGACCCAUAUCUGACCUUCUAUCCUGUUAUUCCCCCUCAAAUCAUUAUUUUUUCUGAACAUUACUUCAAACAGUACUGAUGCGUGUUCGUCGGUGGCGUCGGUGAUGAGCGAGUUGGCCGCCGCUCUGCCGGACGGGCCGGAUGCCGCGCUGGCCUCCACACGGGUUGGCAGGCUGGCCCGAGCGUGACUCACGAGUGAGCAAGCCGCCACGCUAGCCUUCGCUCGAGCCAGAUGGCUGGCCUUAGCGCGGCGCGCGCGAGCAAGCCGCCGCGCUGCUGUGCCAAUCUAGAUAGCAAACCUUGCAGACAAGCAGCUGGACGGAGCUAUCUUGGCUAGAUAGCGGCCGCGAGGGCCGGACGGAGCUGGCAUCCGGGCUGCCGCAACAUGGGCUCUGCACCGCCGACGGUUUUGACCUCGCCUUCUGCCGGCGGCGGUAGCUGCGUCCCAUGUCCGAGGAUGACUAGGAGGACGGGCCGGAGGUAGGAGGUCACUCGAGGAAUUUUGUUGGUAAGAGCAUGUAAAAUGGUUGAUAAGGUAGUCUUAUCUUAAGUCUGCCACGUAUGCAAGUGGUAGUAGUUUCUUGGCAUUUUAGUGGUUUCUUGCAUUAUUAGGGGUUUCUUGUAAGGAACAAUGUACGUACUACUAGCGACAAAAGGCGAUUCUAGGUUGCGUUGUACUCCAACGAGUACUACUAGUGGUCGCAGGAGUGUAUACCUCGUUUUGUGGGUUCGAUCCCGGCCGAACACACGUCGGCCUUUUUUUUAAAUAGUACUACUACACUUUGCUGCAAGCCAAUAUUUUACACGGGUAGUUUGAGUUUUGAAGUCAAACAGAUAUGCGGCCCCACAAUCUGGGUGCACUGGAUAGCCUAGCCACAUGAACGGGUUUUCCUUCCCAGCAUCCCGUGGCUCGCGUGCUCGCCCUAGCCGCACCUCGCUUGCAGCUUCCUCAUCGGCUAGUAGCAUAUUUAAACAAGCGCCUCCCAGUUAAGCCCGAGGAGUCGGAAAAGCCUGGCAGGGCAUUGGGAACUGUGCAAUAUGGCUCUGUACGUAAAGUGCUCUACUACUACUCUCUAGCUUGUGGUGUUGCACGCAUGGACUUCACUCCAUUAUCGGCUAUACUAUAAAAGAAAUUCCUAUUGACGUGUUUUUUUGAAAUGGAGGCAAAAACUUUGCUUCAUCUCAUUCAUAAAGAAGGAACUACUAACAAAGUUCGACAAGAUCCGUUACACCUCCACAAAUGGAAGCAAAAAGCCUAGUCUCGCCGUAUCAAAUAACUCAAAUAUUCUACCCCCGCAGUAACCGUCACUGAUAAACAGGCUGCUAGUGUGUGCGUGAGAGGAGCGGCUGAGUAGGCCAGCUACGUGAGAGGAGCGGCUGAAUAGUGCACCGAGAGUACCCACUAGGCCACUACGCAGGUGUACUUUCCCUGUAUUGAUAGUACAACGAUGGUUCUAGAGAACGGUAGUACCCUCCACUUCCAACUGUAGCUCCUUGGCCCUGAGAUUCAAGAGUUCAAAACUGGUGCACUAUACUAGAACUAGACAAGAAGUACAGUACAUCGCACUACUAGUUGAGAAAAGUAGUACUAGUACUACUACAGUACGAGUACGUACUCCUCCGUCAUAUUAUGUAAGACAUUUUUUGACACUAGUUGGCGUGUACAAAAAAUGGCAAAAAUAUACCCAAAAUUUCUUAAUCCACGCCAAAAACUAAUACCUAGUGCCAACAAUUUCUUACUAGUGCUAUUAUUUAUAGUAUAAUGCAAUCACAUAACGUUCCAUAAUGCUAGUACUAGUAGUAAAUAAUAGCCUCACCCCUUCACUGAGGAAUGAUCUACAGUUGGAAGGGACGAGACCCUGCGGUUAGUACGCUCUUAUCUCCUCCUCGCCAGUUCCCCUCCCCCCGAAGAGAAGGCAGUUCGCCGCUGCUCCCAUGGAUUCGCCAGGCGGUUCUCCUCCUGGUCGGGGCUGGGAAACCUUGGACGACGAUCCCCUGGGAGAAAUUGCAUGCCGCUCCGAUGUCCUCACCGCCGCAAGACUCAGUGCUUCCUGCACCAACUUUUUCAAGAUGCUACUUAAACAGGCUUGGGAAAAGGCCAUGCUUGGUGGUCUUCCAUGUGUCCUCGAGGAGAAGGUUCUUCUAUGGGACAAUCCUUCGAACAGUCCACCGCUCACUGGCCAUGGUUGCACGUUGACUCCGCUAGAGUUGCCGACGUUGAGAGGUAGUCGGAUUUUGUCCGAUGAGCAGGUCAGUAAUGGAGUUUGAUCAUGUAGUACUUAGUUAUUCCAUUUCCAUCCCGUAAUUUCUCCGCUGCCCACCUUCUUAUAUAUAGGACUUGGUCGGUGCCAACGAAGAUUGGCUUGCAUACCUCCAGCCAAAUACCACCAUCAUUUUGCACAACAUCCACAACAGUGCGGCCGUUCCGGUAGACCCCUUCUCCACCAUUGGGAUCGGCCUUCCGGACUAGCUGGGCUUGAAUACGUAUGAUGAUGCCUACAUGAGAUUGAAGAAUAUAGCAAUUGUGGACCCGCCGACAAAGUGGCGCGGCUACAACGAUUACUAUCUCAUCGUGGUGUUUGACAUAAGGAUUGCCAUCAAUGCAAGAGGUAGUAACGGCAGAGGCUGGCGCAUGUUGGCGGCGGCAUAUUUGUACCCCUACACAUUCGAAGACGCCAUGCGCCAUCUAGGCCGUAUCUUCGCGGUGACAAGCCAGGGGACUUGUUUCAUCUGGUUGCCAUCCUACAGUACGGCAGAUUACAAACGGAAUGCACAAACCAUCAUUUGCAUCCCUAAUGGUACUCCAUUAUUUUGCAGGGACCAGUCAUCCCCCGAUGAAAAUAAGAUCGCCGAUCCUGGAUGUGCAUUUGCAUCCGCGAUUCGGUCUAACCUGGAACCUUGUAGCCGACUUUGGCAUAUUGGGAUCAACAAUCUUAGCAGUCGUUACCCAUGGUACCACUGAUGUGCAACAUGGUCACACAAUCUACCACGAUCGGACCGUCACCAUCUACCCAGGUAUUCCAUUUUUUAACCCUCUCGCCUUCUCUUUCAUUGUUGUACUAGUAGUAUACUUAGUAGUACUAGUAGGAGUACUUUUUACCUUGGAGGACGCGUAUAGCUAGCUAGGCCCUUGAAGACUUGAACCCACUAGCUUCCACCAUUUUUGUUUAUCCAUGUCUUACUAUCUCAUCCAUGUAGCCAAGAGUGGCUAUAUAUAAUAAGACGGUUAUUUUACUUCCUCUAUACCGGAGUAGUACUAUUUGCUGCACAGUAUUAUUGACCACCAUAUUUGAGCACAACAUUAUUAUGCAUGGACCUUGACUAUUUAGGCCACCAUGUGUCCAGAUCUGGGAUGCUACAUGUACCAGAUGAACGGCGCCGAGUUCGACCCCCGUGAUGCUACGUGGGUGCCGAGGAACACUCUUGGAGAGUACUCGCUUUUCAUCGGGGACAGCUACCCCAUUGUGAAGCGGAUGCCACCUUCCGUGCACGACACGGAAGGCCUGCCGUUCAUGAAGCAUGGUUGUGUCUUCAUUGCGCACCGCCAGAUGAACGACAUGCUGGGACACGCUAUACCUGAUUUAUGCCGCUUCAGCUUGGAUGAGUCUCCAUCUUGUGGAACCGGACUAGAAAGCUGUGACAAUGAUUCCCGUUGCCCACCGCUAUGGAUCGUGCCAUCCAUGAAGAAUACCUGGGACUGGAACCUGGAGGAGGACAUGUAGCCCAUCUAUAACAUGUAAGUGGAGUACGGUAAUUGUGAACGGUAGCGCUGUGAAUAUAUGUGGACUAGUCGUGCACAAAUUUAUCACAUGAAUUGGAGAUGAACUUGUGUGGCAUACUGGCAUUUGUCCUUUAGAAUUUAUUACUAGUAAAUGCGCUAUGUGUACGUGCAACUUGUGUGGUUGUUGCACGGGCUCCAACACGCUCUUUGAGAAAAAAAGGUGGCACAGCUUUGGAUAUACGUGACGUGGCGGCAUCAUAUAGUAGCAUCGUUCACUAUAGUUGUAGUACACUCCUACUAGGACGACAACUCCUAUAAAACCUUGCACUUGGCUCUUUGCCUCUUCGGGAGGUUCAACAGUUCGUACACGUGUGAACCUUGCCCUUGGCUCUUCGCCUCUUUGGAAGGUCCAACAAUGAUGAUACUACAAUAUAAUAUGCUUCUAGCAAUCUGACACCGAUUGAACUACUGCAUGAUCACCGCGAGGGCGAGGGCGAUGGCGAGGGAGAGGGAGAGGGAGAGGGAUAGGGCGAUGUAGUCAAAACCCUCUCCUCGUCCUGCGAACCACCGCGCGCGUGGGUGAGGGAGAGGCAUAGUAAGCAAGCUUCUCCUCGUUCGGCGAGUUGACGGGACACAUCAAAGCAGUACUAGUACUAGUAGUAGUCCAUACUGCGUCCUUACCGAUUAAUAUGGCUUAAUUUGAAACGAGAAAAAUACACUGGCGGUCAACGUAUGUAACAAUACGCUCUUUACGGUCACUAUAUAUGGAUUUGGGGUGAUUAUACAAUCACUAGCUCAUCAUAGAGCACCGUAUUGCACCCUACUGACCGGCCACAUAGUCGACAUGGCACUUUGUUGACUGGUUAAAUUGUCACCUGGUUUCUGGAUCCCACCUGUCAGUUGGCAGAGCCAAGAAAUCAGUUAAACAAAACUUUACGCAGGCACAACACGAGUCCAACCCUUGCGCGCGAACCGCCAUGGCUGUGUAUGUGAGUGCAUGCAUGUGUACUCCCUUGGUCUUCCAACAAAGAGUGUACAUCGGCUAUAAGGCUGGUCAUAGUGGAGAGUAACAUAUACUAGUAUCAUGCAUAUGAUACUAGUGUAUGAUACUACAUCUAUAGUGCAUAGUAACAUAAAGUAGUAUCAUAGAUGAUCUCAUUUAUUGCCAUGCAUGACACAUAGUAGCAUAACAUUUAUUAUGUUACAGUAUCUACCUAUGUUACUACUACCCUCUCUCUCUUCUUUAAUUGUUUGCCACAUAAGCAUGUUUGCGAGUCCCAAGUACAUGAUACUAGUUAUGUUACCCCCACUAUGGCCAGCCAAAAACAAAGAGUGUAGUACAUGAUGUACAUCUACACUUCCAAUGCAUUUAGCCUUUAAUCUAAAUCGAUAUUGAUUGACUAAUGCACCAACUUGUGCUGUAGGUAUAGGCUACAUGUCUAUCCUUAAUUACAGCAUGCAACGGCCUUCAUUUAAUCUUCUUCAAUGGUCGCAUGCACACAUAAGUCUGAUACUUUUGGGCGUUAAUUAUGACCUGGUCAAUGUGUAAAUCUCUAAAUGUACAGUCUUUCACGGAUGUAGGGAGUAGGUUGAGCACUUGAGCGUGAGCGUGUGUGUUGCAUCGUGUGCUGUGUGCCGCAUGGGUGCGUGAGUGUUGCGUUCAUCCAUGUGUACGUGUGAGUGCUGCAUGUUGCAUCCAUGCAUGCAUGCAUGGGGCUUACUCCCUUCCAUUGACAUGUUCAUAUUUCAAGCUUCCUCUGUUCCCUCCAUAUGGUGAUACUCCCCCUGUUCCCAAAUACGGAGUAAAAGCCUCCCUCUGUUCCCAAAUAUGGAGUAUUUGUCUUUCUACAGAUUUCAACAAGUGACUAGGUACGGAGCAAAAUGAGUGAAGUGAGCGUAGAUGCAUAGGGAUACUGUAGAAAGGAAGUCCUCGCGAUCCAUUAUUCCCCAUCUCGGUCAGAGAGAACUAUUCAACUAGUCUUCGCAGUGAAGUGACAAUACACGCUGCAGCAGAUGGGACACGUAAUUAAUAAGCUGAACCAGCGUGUUGGUGUUACUAAAUCAGCCUUACCCAGUACUGCCAUCAUGUUUGCCAGUAGAGCACGCUUCCGCAAAUACGCCUACGCACCUCUGUCCUCCAUUAACUGACAUAUGGGCCCUCUUGUGGUAUACCCACAUGUCAUCGGUGUAACUAUUUACACUCCGAAGGACGGUAUAUCCUGGUAGUAGUACUAGUAGAAUUGAGAUUUAAUGCACUUUCUUCCCCGUCUUCCACUCUUCUUCCUCCUCUCUUCUUCUUCCUCCUCUCUUCCCAAUCGUAGGCCGCACACCAUUUACCCAUGCUCACUGCUCGCCCGCCCGCGCCAUCUUCCUUGGUAGCUCGCGCGUACCAUAUCCCCCCGCUCACUGCUCGGCCACACGAGGAGAAGCUUCUUCGCUCGCCCGCCCGAAUCCACUUCCCCGCUGGCUCGCAGGCACCAAAAACCCCAAUGGCAGAACCGACUGACACGUAGAGCCUCGAUUGGAAUUCCCUCCCCAAUGUUCUCUAGGAGCAGAUCUGUAGUCGUAUGGACCUACUCAGCACUGUCCGUCUGGCCGCAUGCUCAGUGUCUUUGUACCGUCUACUCGUCUGCAACCGACUGGCUCUUUUCAAGACACUCUGCUUGCUGAUGCCAGAUCCUCAUAGGUGGCCCAGACACCGACUUGACGAUCCUACAGAGGUUGCCGUGGUGCCCCUCGACAUGCUACCACUACCCAUCCACCUGUCCUUCAUGCGCGGCCACUACUAGGCAGGCAUGAAGGUCAACUGGAUCGUCCUCAUCCACCACUCCGAUAGUCUGUGACGUCUCAUGGAUAUCUACACCCAGUGAGAGAUCACCCUUCCAUCAUUGGAUACCGCCGCCAUCGAGCCUCGCAGCCCGUCGGACACUCCUUCCUACUACGCACGAGACGCGUCAAGCUUUUGGCUUGACCUCUGUUUGCAGAAAGUUGUAAUCUGCGAAGUGCCCACACCAUCAGAAGACUACAUGGAUUACAAGCUCAUUGCGUUGUUCAACAUGGGAUUAGUCUAUUUGGAAUCCAGUCGCCAUACAUGGUUAUGGCUCAUCAUCAAUCCUGUUGAGGCAACAUUUAUGUCUGAUGCUAUAGUGCAUGAUGGCAUCGUUUACGCGGUCGACGCACAUAUUGGUUGCCUAUACUGGUGGAAUCUAUCAUCGUGUAAUUGUUCUAUCUCAUCUCAUCUUUACCUUAUGAAUACGACUGCAUGUUCAUUUGUUUCAAAUUUAGAAUACAUAGCAUGUCUAUAACCACAUCAUUGCUAUAUGUUCCUCUCAUUUCCUAGAUUUUUAUGACCACACAUGUUAUUGUUAGAGUUGAUAUGAUAACAAUUGGCAUCUAAUGAUUGUUAGAAUACAUAUUAUGAGCAUAACAUCAUGAUUGCUAUAUGUUACUCUCGUUUACAAGAUUUUUAUAACAACAUAUGUUAUUGCUUAGAGUUGAUAUGAGAACAGUAGUAGUAAGUGCUAUGGUAGAAUAUGAGUAGGCGCUGUCAUAGCUAUUUUCCUCUCAUUGUUACAUGAUGUUUGAACCCUGACAUAUUGCUAGAAUAUGAAAGCCAUUGGCUUAUUUUUUUAACUUGGGGUAUGAUUAUGACCACGACAUUGCAAUUCUCUGUCUAUGAUAUGUGUCACCGUUAUAAUAAUCUUAAUUCCACACAUACUCUGAACAUGACUGUUUAUUUUUGUCCUUUUGGUCUCCAAUUUGAAUUGUUGCAGCAGACGCAAAUGCACUGGCCUUCAUGAUUCCAGGACUGGAAUCAUACCAGCCGAUGGGUGGUGGUUUAUCGCUCGUUCAGCUUACGGCGGUCAUUUGAUUCACAUUCGCACAUACCAAAUUGACCAAACCAUUACAUCAAACCACAUGUAGUACAAUGCAUGGGGCGUUCGUGACAUUGAUGGCUAUGGCUGCUUCGUGUUCGAGAAAGAUCCUAGCUCCGUUGGUCCAGGCGUAUUCAACUGGAGGCGGGUUUACAGCCUCGGCAACCACUCCUUGUUCCUCGGGCUCAAUUAUCCUAUCAUCCAACCAAUCAUCGAUCAUAUCAUCGGCGAUGAUUACCGAACUAUGCAACUUCUAUUCGCGAGGGGGGAUUGUGUUUACACGUCAUACCAUGGGUUUCAUGAAUCAUCAUAUCGAGAGAUUCGUCGACACAUCUUGUUGCCAGAUAAUCUUCAGUGUGUGAAAGGCAUCAAGCUUCCAUGCGAUGGAUGGCUUUUGCAAACCUGACAUGCGGCGAUGUGGUUCAUGCCAACAGCAAGUAUGCACAACUUGAUUCGUGCCGAUAUCUAGACUGAGCCAUGCAUUCUGCUGCUGUAGCACGACCCUCUUUUGUUGGAUAUUAUGUACUGUUGUUAGUUUGAAGCACUCAUCUGGUUUGAAGGAUAGUAGAUACCUUCCUGGGAUCAAGUGCAUCCUAACUCACCUGGGUAGGAUGUACUGAUAAUGAUGAUGGAGAUGCUGUGCAGAAGCCAUAUAUAUAUCAGUUAGGCUUCAAGUGCGUACUUGUUCGUUAAACCUAUGUAUAAAUUGUGACACUAAAUACGACUAGUAAGUAAACAGUAGCAGUACUAGUAUACCUCGGUCAAAUUAUUCAUCAUGUCGACACAUUGAAUUGACGUGACAACACGCUGCACGUGAGGUGACACAAGAAUCUCGGCGGCGUGUUCGGGUAUUCUGGACUUCAGAUGUGGAGUACCACUUAUUUGUCGAAAUCUUUCAGCAUUCACUUAAAAUAGUCGAUUGAUCAUACAUUGAGUACCAUAUAACUGGAAUUACCGAUGCAAGUUGUCGUGGUGGGUGCACGACAGAUGCCAAGGGAUGGCUAAAGAGAGGAGGAGGCUCGAGGGCACUGGUGGGCUCCAGAGGCGAGGUUGGCAUGAGCGGGCGCGGGACGCCGGACAUACCCAGGUUCGGGGCUCUCCGGAGAGAUAAUACCCCUAGUCCCGCCGAGUGUAGUUGGAUGAUCGAUAGUACAAUGUUGCUCCUGGAGCUGUAUGGAGGAGGAAGGAAGCUGGCCGAGGCUUGGGAUGCUCCUUCUCCCCGGUGUUGCUGUUGGGUGGCUAGUUCUAUGCUCGCUGGCUCUGUCUGUUUCUCACAGGCAGCUUUGCAUUAUAUGUCUCUCUCUCUCUCUCUCUGCCCCCCGUAGGCGUGGGUUCCUGGGUGGUUUUAUAGAGCAACCCACCCAGGGUUACAAUGGUAAUAUGCCAAGCCGGUGGGUCUGUAUUGUCGGUGUUCCGGAUACCGGGAUGGGUCCCGCUUGAGGGCUUGUGGUUCACCGGGUUCCCCUAGGUGCGGGCCUCGCGGGCCUAGGGGAACUGUGCGCCAUCUUGUCGAUCGUUAGGGCGUGGCCGAGUCGAGUCGUGUACAGUGCUCUCCGUCAGGCUGUCGCUCGCUAUCGUUAGCGGUGAAGGCGGGAGCACUGUUGCCACGCCAUCCUUGGUCAGCGGGUAGGUGAGGGGCAUUGUUGCCACGCUGCGGCUGACCACAGGCAUGGGUGGAAACACUAUUGUCUUGGUCAUUGGUGACUGUCGUCUCGUCCCAUCGUACGUCCUGGAUGGGACGGGAGCUGACCCGUGGCUGGGUUGCCAUGGACGCCACGGGUAGGGUUGGCUUGCUGGGGAAGCCUUGGUCAUGCCGGGUUCAGCCGUCUUGCGCCAGUUGUUGAGGCCAGGUCGACGUACCUUGCCGGGUCGGAGAGUUUGGCCGGGUUGCGGGCUUCGCCGGGUCGAGCGACCCGGCCAGGCGCGUGCCGGUUUUGUGGGGCGAUGCGGGCCCCACUAUUUUUGAAGAGGAUCCGGGUUCCAUUGCCUGCCCGGGGUUCACCCCCCGACAGUAGUCCCCGAAGCUAUGAAGGUCCGCCGUCUUCGGAUGUGCGGGCCUUCGUUGUUUCCCCCUUGAGCAAGGCGGAUUCUGCGAGCUCCGAGUUCGGCAACACCCACUGUCUGUCGGUUUUCUUGGAAACCGGAUCGCGGCGUCCCGGCCGUGGCGAGAACCGAGGAGUCCGUCGAAUCUUGAGGCAAUCCCUUGGGCUUCAUGCAGGCGCCACAUGGCGCCCGGAAGUUGGAGGGGCCUGAUAGGCCACGCGCGUGACGGGACUGGACGACGGGUCGGGGCCCGCCGCCGCGCGCCCUUGGUCCAUCUGCGCGGAUUUAUUGCAGCGUCUGGGGGCUGGUUGCGCUUCCCUGAGCAGUUAGUGCGCGUGUACGUGCGCACUUAUUGCGGGGUAGUGGAACGGGUGCAUGCAGACGAUACCACUUCCCCACGUUUGAACCGGGGGUUAUAAAUUGAGGGGGGCAAGGGGCGGCGGACACCAUUCUCGCUCGCGCCCUCCUGUCCCCUUGCUCCUGAUCUGCUGUUUGCCACCGACGCACAGCUGCUCCCGCAGUCCCGAGCAGAGCCUGCUCCAUCGCCCGUCUUCUUCUUCCUUCUUCUGUCCAUGGCGUUGCCGUCGGGCUCCUGGAUGGGCUCCAACGUCACCAGCGAGGACAUCACGCGGCUUCGAGCUUCAAGGCGCCUGCCGCAGGAGACGGACGUCGGCGUCUGCCUACCGUGCAACAAGCAGAGGCCCCAGCCCGAGGGGCUAGAGCGCGUCGUCUUCCUUAUGCAUUUCGAGAGCGGGUUCGGGCUGCCGGUGAGCACCUUUUUUCGUGUGUUCUUGGAGUUCUUCGGGCUUCAACCGCACCGUCUUGGCACCGGCGCCGGCGUCCAGCUCUCCGGCAUCGUGACCCUAUGCGAGGGGUACCUGGGGGUCGAGGCGACGAUCGAUCUUUGGGUGCGCUUCUUCUCCUUGAAGCAGCAGGGCCCGUUGUCCGAGGAGUUAGCCGACUGCGGCGCCGCCGUCAUCUCGAAGCGGUCGGGGGCGGAUUUCCCCAAGAUCCUGCUCGAGGAUUCUGCCAAGAAGUGGCAGAACUCCUUCUUCAACGUCCGCAAUCUCGGUGCGGACCAUAUCAAUCUUCCGCCCUUCGUCAUCGUGCCGCCGUGGGCGAAGACGAACUGGGGCUACUCACUCCGGCGCCCGUCGCAGGAGAUCGUCAACCUCUACGAGCGGGUGACGGUGAUGAGGACGCAGGAGGGGCUCACCGGCACCGAUCUCCUUGCCGCAUUCAUCACCCGCCGGGUCCUCCCGCUUCAGAGGUGCUCCUGCCUCAUUGGCGAGAUGAUCCUCCUGCAGGACCCCAACCGGAUGGGGUCGACGCGGCUGUCUGUGGAGCAGGUCGCGCACGGUGUCAAUGACAUCUCCAAGGCCAACCUUGGAGAGGACUAGCGAUUUGGCAAGGCGCCGUAAAGCCAGUUGAACCCGGUGCCAGAGGUGAGCGUCUGGUCUUCUUACUUUGCUGCCGCGCAUCUUCUUAUUCGUCCCGACGCGACGCGGGAGAUUCUUCUGAACGCGAUCCGGCACCCUUACGCCCAGGCUCCGUCGCAGGUGGCACCGGUGGUGCCAGAGGAGCCCGCGGCUCCUGGCGAGGAAGAGGUGGCUGAGUCCGACGCCGGCUCUAGGCGUCGCGCGGGUAAGUCUUGUAUCUAUCUUUCUUCAUUUGAAUUGUUUGAUCGUGUCGCGACGUGGGCGACGCUGACGCUGGUUGUUGGUGUAGUGGCGUUGGGCGGGGGAGGCGGCGACGCGGGCGGAGCCGGGUCCUCACAUGGGGUAGCGCCGAGCCACCCGCAUGGAAAAGACAGCCUCGCGCCGCGACCCCGGGCCCCGAAGCGCACGGCGGACCCGGCCGAGCCUGGGAGGCCGGCCAAGAGGAAGCGCGGUGGUGGGCAUGGGAGGACGACCCCGGUCCUGGUCUUGGCGGGGUGAGCUUCAUUUCUUGCUUGCGCCUGGAUUUUUUGAGCCUGUCUUGUCUCUUUUUUGCUUAUUCUGCCUUUUUCUUCAGGUCGCCUAUCGCGCUGGUGAGGGCGGCGGCGGAGGCCGCGGCCACCGAAGGGGCCGUGUUCUGCAGGAGCCGGUCCGACCUCGCCGAGCAGGGCGAGGUGGAGAGGCGGGCCGACUCGGACCUCGGACUAGAUCCCAACGACGCCGAGGCCUUGGCCUGGCGGGACAAGAAUCGGGCCGAGGCGGAGCUGGAGGCGGCGUCGGUCUAGGCUUGGACCGACGCGACAGCGGCAUGGGCGCGAUCCGGCGUGGAGCCGGCCUGGCGUGAGAUGCCGGAGGGUACGAUGGUGGCGGCGACGGUCUUUGAGCCGUCGUCGUUGAGGGAGCGCAGCCGUGGAGGCCGGGCUGAGGUGGUGAUCCUCGACCAGGAGGUCGUGGAGGUGGGGAGCGAUACCCCGCCGCGGGCCGACGUGGUCGAGCGCGUGGGGGAUGAUGGUGGUGGAGGUGGCGUCUUCUUGGAGGAGACGCCGCAGGCGGCGGCACCGAAGGUACCGCCGGCUACGGAGGAAGUACCGCGGACGGCGGUGCCGGAGGCCACCCCGGCAGCUGGGCCGGUGGUGGCGAUGCAGGGCAUCCCGGCGUCCGGGUCGUCGUCGGUGCCGGGAGGGGCGUCGGAGGAGGUGCUGGCCGCGUCGCAAGCGGCCGGCGGGGGGCACGCCUUGGUGCCCCGGCAGGGAGGGCGUCGAGCCGCCGUGCCGCAACCAGCGCAGAGCGGGGGCGCCACUGUCUUCGGGCCCCAGACCCAGGAGGAGGCGGCACUGGACGCCGUCAGCCGUCGCCUGCGGGGUCAGACGGUGCGGCUUCAGGCCUUUGCCCAGGCCGAGGUGGAGCGGACGCGCGACCUGGAGCGCGCCGUGCUGGUAAGUCUUUUUUGCUUCUUCAUGAUUUCUUCUUUGUGGGGGCGCGCCAGCGCACCCACUGGGUGUAGCCCGCGAGAUUCGGGCCAACUACGUAGUAGUUGGGUCGGAUCUUCUAGAAUGUUAGCCUCGUUUUUGACUUCUGAUUUCUUUAGCAUCUUGCCAUCUUCCGGGUUGCCGCCUUCAACCGUCUCCUGGGCAAACAUCGGGAGCUCGUGGAGCAGCUUGCCGCCAAGGAGGAGGAGCUCCGCGUUGCCGCGGGUACUCUUGUGUUCUUUUUUAGUGGGGGCGCGCUAGCGCACCCACUGGGUGUAGCCCCCGAGAUUCGGGCCAACUGUGUAAUAAUUGGGCUAAAUCUUAAGUGUUACCUUUUUUCUUCUGCUGAACCUUUCUUCUUUGCAGCCGAGGUGUUGUCUUGGCAGACCCGGCUGCUCCGGGGCAGUCAUCAUUACGACCAGCUUGUUGCUAAUGCCGACCGUCUUGGCGUCGAGGCGGCGCAGGCGAGGGCGGAGGCGGCCUCGGCCCGACGGUCUCUUGACGAGGCCAACCGGCUGCAUGAGCAGCUGGCAGGUCACAAGAGCCGCCUCGAGGCUGAGGUGGAGCUUCUCAAGGCGGAAGCCGCCAAGGUCGCGGAGG